Molecule: long non-coding RNA, 60573 nt
Filed under: Oryza sativa (Asian cultivated rice)
Lineage: Eukaryota; Viridiplantae; Streptophyta; Magnoliopsida; Poales; Poaceae
Description: long non-coding RNA (OSAT_LNC001213)
Rfam family: MIR812 microRNA precursor family (bases 51584-51780)
Source: RNAcentral
CCCUGCAGUAAGAGUCACAACUGAGGAUUGGCAAAACACCAGAUUAUUGGUCAAAUUUUACUUCUGUAUUCCCUUUUGCCAUUAGGAGAGUAGUCCUAUGUCCAUCACUAAAGUUCUCCCAAACAGAACACUCAUUAUUUUCUGCAGGUUCAACCACAGGUAUAUCUCAAUUCCGAUUGAAGAAUGUAAACUAUAUUUGGUAGAGUGAAGGAAGCUAGUUAAAUGCUAUGUGAUUAUGAUGGUUGAAAAGGUGGAAUUAGUUUGUACUUUUUUGUACCUACAAAGGAGUAAACUUUGAGGUCAAGUUUAUAUCGGAGAAGGAAAAAAAUGGACGAAAGGUAGCACAAUGGUGCACAUCAGCAUGAAUUAAACAGAGAGAAAUAAUAACUUUAAGUUUCUCUUCCUAAAAUCAGGAGUCCACUAUUCUCAUGUUGAAUAAUAUCAACUAGAUUUUUUUGUGCUACCUGUAAGGCUCUGUAAAGUUUGUUCAAGUUCCCAGCAAGCCAUUACUGCUUCCAUUGCAUGAACACGCACAUGUUGCUGUAGUUGUUCCUUGAACGAACAAAGGAGCAAUACAUAAUGGGUCUGCAAGAAAAAAAAACAUUUUUUUAUUAAGUAAAAAAAAUUGCCUUAGGAAGAUUGUCAUUUCCAAGCAAAGAAGAGUACCUGAUAAACAAAAUGACUUUUUAAAAAAGAGGCAACUGAUCAUAAACUUAGCUAACAGAAAUUGUAUGCAAGAAACAAUAUUAAUUGAUACCAUGUUCCCUUUAGCUUAUUCACCGGAUUACUGAAAACGGAUUAUUUGCUCCAUGCUUCAAAAGAAGUAUUUUCUCAAAAAAUCUUUCUUCUAGUAUAUUACUUACUUAGACCACUUGUUUUAACCUAUUUGUUAAGUUUAUUUAUUGAAAUAUUUAAUGUAUCCCUAUGACGAAGGACAUAAUCCACAGCAAUAAUACACUCAAUAAUCUAAAUCAAACAAGGACUAGAUAAUGGAAGUAUAACUUAGAGCUUCUUCAACAACUAGCCAACUAGGGAUGCAAACAAACACCAAGGAAUGAGAAAUAAGUGAUGAAUUUUAGCAUAUUCAAUUCAAAGGACUAUAUUUCAAAAACGAUGGUCGGAACCAUUGCUACUCCGACAAAAUCAAUCCAACCCUUCCAAAAGUCAAAAUUUUGGUGAUGUUUUUUCUACAGGGUUCCUUCUUUGUGGACCGCUCUGUUGUACACUUGUACUGUACAUACUUCUGCUGCUUCUUAAUGAAAUGAAGCUUGAGUUUUCGAGAAUUAUUUUUUUCCUUCCAAAUUUCACUCCUAAUUCCACUAGCCAAUUUCUUGUAAAUACUCUCUCCUCCUUAAUAUAACACCAGCUUAUCCUGGCUUCGGUUUCAAAAAAAAAAAGCCAAUUUCAUUUCCCUUUCCAGCCCCAAUUUUCGAUAUCGCUCAUCCAGAAUAAUAUUUCACAUACCAAUCGUACAAGAAACUCUCACGCGAGGAGAAUUUGAUCGCAAAAGCGAUACAGAGACACACCACGCAAACCUCAUAGCUUGGCAAAAAUAAGAGUAAAACGCCCUGGAGAAAGAGAGGGGGGGAUUUGAUUGGCGCUACUACUACUACUACUACUAAUAAUAAUUUAGCCCUCACCAUGAAGAGGUCGAGCUCCUCGCCGCCGGACGGCGCCCCUCCGGCCGCCGCGGCCGCCGCUGCGGCCGUGGCGGCGGCCAGCGGCGGGGGGCGCGCCGCAAUCUGCGCGUCGAUGCGGGGCAGCUGGUCGACGGGGGUGGCGACGCGGAGGCACGCGACGUGCGCCUCCAGCAGCCGCUCGUACAGCGGGUGCGCCGCGAUGGCGGCCUUCUCCCGCUCCCACCCUCCUCCUCCUCCUCCCCCCACAACUCCUCCCGCCCCGACGAACCCAGGGUGGUGGUGGCCGCCCGUCUCCGCCGCCGCAGCCGCGGCGUCCAUCGCCAGCGCGUGGUCCUGGUAGUGGAACGCCAUCACGCGCACCGCUGCUGCUGCUGCAGCGCGCGAGGUGGAGGAGGAAGACGAAGACGAGGACGAGGACGAGGACUUGUUGUUGUAGCAGUUGGGAGGGAGGGAGGGAGUGAGUCGGGAGGCUCCUCUAACUUGUGUCACUAACAUAUGGGCCCUCUAUUUAAUGGGCCCAUAUAUCGGUGACUCAGAGUUAGAGGGAAGUAAGUCAGAGGAUCUUCUUCGGGAGUGGGAGGGGACCGUAGAGGAGCGAUGGGAAUAGGAGGAGCCCAUUUCAGUUUUGCGCGUGCACGUGACUCAUUUGCAAAUCGCAGGAGUAAAUUGCACCGUACUCCUCCCUCUAUCAGAAAAAUAAAGAAAAAAAAAUCAAAAAUCAAAUUUUGGGGGAGGAAUCUAGACUCCGUGUAAAUUACUCGAUCGGUUUCUUAAUAUAAGUUGUUUGAUUUUUUUUUCUAAGUUAUAAACUUCAUUAAGUUUGCUUAAAUUUGUUGAAGGAUUUAACAAUAUCUAAAAUGUAAAUUUAGUUUUGUUAAAUUAACAUUGAAUAUAGUUUGAUAAUAUAUUUGUUUUGUGUUGAAAAUGCUACUAUAUUUUUUCUAUAUAUUUGAUCAAAUAUAAAAAAGUUUGACAAAAAAAAAAAGUCAAGCGACAUAUGAGUUGUAGUUCGUUUUAUUAGCGUUACUAGUACUACUUAGUUGUGCCUAGAAAUUGAAAAAAUCCUUUAUUUCGAGUAUAGGAUCAGGCGUGCACACACCACACUCACACGUAUUUACGGGGAUAUGUUCUAGUAGCUCAUGCUUGAACGGGAUUGGAACUAUUACCCCACGGAGUGAAGGUGUGCAUUAGACGCUCACAGCGCGGGCACCCACCUUCACGAAGUCACAUAUUACAUCCUACUCUCCUAUAAGUACUCACCAUUCUCGUAAAAAAUCAACUAGUAUUAGAUACGACCUAGUACUACAAAUUUGGAUUUAUUUAUGUCCGUACUAGAAUGUAUCACAUUCAGUCCUAUAUUCGCUUUUUUUUGGACGGAGAGAGUACAUUUGAAUAGCUGGACUGGGAUAUCCUGGUAUUGAUGAAGUUACCAUGAAUGUUUUGUUAUCCUCUACCACUGAAAGAAUAAUUAAUAGUUAAUACGAGCACAAUCUGAUUAGACAUAUUCCAACCUAAAAAUCUAAUCAGUUUAACUAUGCUUACUUCGCUGGUAUGCAUUUUAUGUAGUACUCCUAAGAGAUUUUAUGGUAAAACUAAGACGGUUUCAAAAUAAAUUCGCGUGCACGGUGUACGUGAUUUCUCCAAAAUUUAUUUCGGCGCUGUAAGGACUUUGCAACGGUGUUAUUUUGAGAAAAUAAAUAAAUAUUGGAAUUGCACUUAUUCAUAUAAAAAUUAUAAACUAUCGUACCCUCUGCAGUGACUUUGAACGUGAAGGUGGUUUCUAUAGUAAAAUCUCUCACAUCAGCGAAGGACGCAUCAUUUUCUCAAUAAAUAAUACAGAGAAUGAACUGUAUAGUACGACGAUGAUGAUUCCCAAUUAAGCGCUGAAAUUUCCAGUUAACCAACCGAUUGAUGAUUCAUGGUUGCUGGGCGUUAGGGCACUACGGUAUCAUCAGACUUAUUUUAUUUCCUUCUCAAACUUAAUAGUGGCGUCCACAUCUCACAAACACAGCUCUUCAGUAUAUAGAUCAGAGAUGUGCCUGAACACCUGCACAAAUUAACCCAAGCUCCAACAGCUUGUGUUUUCUUCUUUGAAAAAUAACAGCUUAUGAUUUCAAGAUUAUUAAACAUGUGUAAACACUGGGGCAAGAUAUGUUGAUAUAUGAUCUGUUGAGCCACAGUUGAUAAGACUGAAAAGAAGAUAAACAAAGCAACUAAAAUUAUGAAUAUAACCCUUAUACAUGUACAGUAUUAUUUAUGCCAUAAAAGUUGAGGCUAGGAAAUAUACCAUGAUAAUAAAAUUCAAAAUCAACUGUAAAAUUAAAUUCAAAAUUUAAUAUUUGGAUGUGACUAAUAAACCAACAAUCAGAUGAUGAAAACAAUAGCUCUAAGUUUUUUUUCGAUGUGACUAAUAAACCAACAAACAAUUUUUCGGGACAAAACCUAAGGCUGAAAAAUAUGGUAAGACGAGAAAACUCAAAAUCAGCUUUAAAACCAAAAUCACAAUUUAAAUUUUAGAUGUGGCUAACAAGUACUAAUAGACAAUAAUACUAUCUCCGUUUUUAAUAGAUGACGCUGUUGACUUUUUAUCACAUGUUUGACCAUUCGUCUUAUUCAAAAAAUUUACGUAAUUAUAAUUUAUUUUGUUAUGAGUUGUUUUAUUACUUAUAGUACUUUAAAUGUGAUUUAUAUCUUAUACAUUUGCAUAAAAUUUUUGAAUAAAAUGAAUGGUCAAAUAUGUGAGAAAAAGUCAACGGCAUUAUCUAUUAUAAAACGGAGGGAAUAAGAACUAACAAACUUUUCAUACAGUGGACUUGUCCACUUUUGUUUCUUUUAACAAGUUGGUCUGAAUCUUUGCCGCUAUCUACUUGAGGGUAAAAAGCACAGUGGAUGGCAGUGGGAAUGGAAAUGUGAUAUUUUCCGUGACCGGAAGGAAAAAGCAGGGACAGCGACGAGGAACGAAAGAUGGACCACGCGAGUGGGCCCCACCUCUCGCACAAUAAACGCCCUGCCUGUCCAAUAGGACAUGGACGCGUCACCGCCGAUUUCUGUGGAGAUCGCCAUGCCAUGAUGCUUAGGACAUCCACAAUGUACUACAGAAGUGGUCUAUAGGGAAUAAACUAUUUUAUUCAGCCACUUAGUAACAUUAUGCAACUAGUCCAUAUAAAGAAAAUAGCAAAAGGUAUCCAUAUGCAUAUGGACUACCCAUAUGACAUAAAUAAUAUUAUCUAUCUCUACUUCUCUCUCUUCUCCUAAUAUUACAUUGUAUCCAUAUACAUUGUGAGGAUUGCUAUAGUUAAAGUUUAUUUAUAUGGGUCCCAUCUAUAUAGACCACUUUUGCCAUAUACAUUGGUGAUGUCCUUAAUGAUGAGCCAUUUGGCCGGAUUUUAUAAUUAAGUAUAUGUCGUAUAUAGGGGUGGAUUUGCAAAUAUACCGAUAAGAACUAGUACUCCCUCCGUCACGUUAAUGUGCAGCCAUAAUUUUUCGUGCACAGUUUCGACCGCCUGUCUUAUUUAAAUUUUUUUUAAAAAAAUUUAAAACUUAAGUCACGUAUAAAAUACUAUUCAUAUUUUAUCAUCUCAUAACAACAAAAAUGCUAAGUUUAUUUUUUUUUAAAUAAGAUAGACGAUCAAAGUUGGGCAUAGAAAUUUAUGGUUGCACUUAAAAUGGGACGGAGGGGGUAUACCGUAACAGUUGGUAGCGGAAGACUUUUGAUUUGCAAACAUGCAGAGAAAACAUAUGAUUCGGGUGCCUUGUCACUUGAAAUCCUAUGGAUAUAAAAAUACAUGAAAAUAAUAGGAUCUAGAUGGAGCGAGGGAAUAUAUAUGAAUAUAAGAAAAAAAGAGAUUACAUAAAGGAUUUUCCCUCUAAAAGAUUGUAUUGAUUUAUGAAACCUAAGAAUUUUCAAAUAAAUUUGAGAGAGACAUUCCUUUGUUCAAAGGACCAUAAAAAAGUUCUUCGAAUCCAAUCACAAAAUUACUUUGUUUCAAAUGAGCCUAAGGGUACACUAUCAGUAGAUUACAAUCUUAGCAAAUAAAAUUUACUAUAGGACACCUACACUUUGUGAUCUUCACUUAUGAUAUCGUAAGAACGUGACACUAUUAUUGGAAAAAACAAAUCUAAUAAUUAGUUACGAGACAACGAAGCCAUUAUUUUUAUUAUAUCUAGUGUGAAUUUCACACUGUGAAAGGAGCGGCACAUUGUUACUAAAUUAGAAUCUACCCCUCCAUUUCACAUUGGAAGUCAUUUUAGUUUUUUUCAUAAGUUAUAAAUUUCUAACUUCGAUCGAGUUUAAUGAAGAAUUUUUUUAUUAAACACACCUUACAAAUUUCUAACUUGAUAGUGUAUUUAUUUGUUAUUGUAGAUGUCACUGUAUUUUUUCUCUAAACUCAGUCGUAGCUAAAGAAGUUUAAGUUAUGACAACUAGAAUGAUUUGCAGCAUGCAUGGAGUGGAACGAAGGGAGUAUGGAUUAUCAUGGGUACAAUUCCAAGCAUAUUUUUAAAGAAAAACCAUCUUUAUCAGUAUUUCGGGCAUGUACUUUUUUUAAACAAAUUUCACGAACGCCUAAAGCUUCCAUGUUAAUACCAUUUAGGCUUUAGGCUGUGUUCGCUAUUCCCGGUUGGGAACUUGGAACAGUCUGCACAGAAAACGGAGCGGUCCAUUAACACGUGCUUAAUUAAGUAUUAGCUAUUUUUUUUAAAAAGGAUUAGUUUGAUUGUUUUAAGCAACUUUCAUAUAGAAUUUUUUUUGCAAAAAAAACUUACUCCCUCCAUCCCUUAAUAUAAGGGACAUUUUGCUUGCACUGUUUAACCAUUCGUCUUAUUCGAAAAAUUUUAGAAUUAUUAUUUAUUUUUUUGACUUAUUUUAUUGUCUAAAGUACUUUAAGCACAACUUUUUAUUUUUUAUAUUUGCACAAUUUUUUUGAAUAAGACGAGUGAUCAAACAGUGCAAACAAAAUGUCAAAAUCUCUUAUAUUAGGGGGUCGGAGAGAGUACCGUUUAACAAUUAAAAAAGCGUGUACGCGGAAAACGGGAGAGAGGGGUUGGGAGGGGAUUAGUAUACUUGGACUGAAAUGCCAAUCAGCCUAGGCGGGGUGUAAAUGGGCCGGACCAUGAAUCUGUAUCCCGUCGCUUACAUGGCCCACAUAACAUGCAUGCCUUCUUCAUAGGCCUGGUGUGCUAUGACGGCCUUAAGUUGUUCCCUUUUUCGUUUGGAAUAUAAGUUCACUUUAGAUCUCUCAAUUUAUCGCCGAAUCUGAAAUCAGUCCCUGCAUCGCAAUACCAGAUAUAAUGUGUUUCUUAACUCUUAAAACCAAUGUGCAAACAAGAUCUUAAGGCCAUUUGGACGGUGGUUUCAGCUGAUGUGACACUUAAAGUAAGAAAAAUAUCGUGGGACCACAUCUAACUACUAGGGCUGUUAAAAAAAGCUCGAGGCUCGCGAGCUGCUCGAGCUCGACUCGUCCUAUGCUCGAUUUGAGCUCGGCUCGAGCUCCAAACGAGCCGAGCCUGAGCCUGUCCCAAAGCUCGCGAGCUUUGUCGAGCCGAGCUCGAGCUUCUAAUAAGCCUAGUAAUAUAUGAUUUUUUAUUGCUAUUUAAUAAAUUGGUAGAUGAAAUAUGUUAUUUGUAUGCCUUGUAUUGGCAUCAUAUAUUUAUUUUAUUCCUUUUCCUCUUCUACUAAUAUGAUAAACCAUAAAUUAAUUAUUUUUAAAAGAAUAUUCUUUAAAAUAUACAUUGUUCUAAUUAAAAAUCAAGCUCGGUAGUCGAGCUCGAGCUUGAUCUAGCUCGAACCGAGCCUGUUUAAAAGCUCGAACAUUUUAUAGGCUCGGCUCUAGCUUGUAUUGAGCUCGAGCCUAGGCAAGCGAGCUCGCUCAAGCUCGGCUCGUUGACAGCCCUACUAACCACCCCUUCUCUUUCCCUUUCUUCUCCCUCCUGGUUUUACCUUUCUUCUCACCGCACGAACGACGGAUAGGGUCCAAGUGGGCGUUCGUGCGAUGAGAAGAAAGGGAAGACCAGAAGAGAGAAGAAAGGGGAAAGAGAAGGGGUGCUUACAUGUUGCCUCACGGAUUUUUUUUCUGACUUUAAGUGCCACGUCAACACCACGUAGUUGUCACGUCAGCUGAAACCAUCAUCAAAACCAUCUUCGGAUCGUAUUUGCACUGGUUUUAGAAGUUGAGGGACACAUUCUAUUUGGUAUUGCGUUGCAGGGAUGAAUUGCAAACUCGACGGCAAAUGAGGGAUGUACAGUAAACUUGUUCAUUUCCAUUUUUGGCCUUCACCCGGUUGAGUGGAUAUGGGCCUUGGCUCGUUUUUCUUUUUGUCUUUUUGAGAGUGAUGCAGUAAGCUCACAGUUCACUUGACCGUCAGUAGCCAGGAUAUGGAUAUGGAGGCUACAUCGGAGAUUUGCCUUAAUCAACAUCAUUUUUUUUCUUUCCUUUUAGCGCAAAUACAAGUUUUCCUCUUUUUUCCCCCUCCUACUAUAUUAGAUCAAGCGACACGUUCACAUCUGCAGUUGGAAUCAGUGAACAGUUGAAUUCAACGUUCACAAUGAUUUGCACCUGACCAUGCUCUUUUUUUCUUGGAAAAGAAAGUAUAACUUUAACUAAGAGUGUGUUUAGUUCACGCUAAAAUUGAAAUUUUGGUUGAAAUUGGAACGAUGUGACAGAAAAGUUAAAAGUUUGUGUGUGUAGAAAAGUUUUGAUGUGAUAGAAAAGUUGGAAGUUUGAAAAAAAAAUUUAGAACUAAACUCGGCCUAACUAAAAAUAUUGUGGAUUAAAAUUUGGAGUGUAGUUAUGCACUUAUCACCAAUACACCAAUGGUGAAACCGUGCUCAUAUAAAAUAAUAAUAAUAUAUUUCAGUCUAAAAUAUAAUUAUUUUUAGCCAUAUAUCUGGGCAAACACUUAUCUACUUCGUCCCAAAAUACACUCCUCUAGUUUAGGAGAGACAAACACUUAUCUACUCACUCCCUGCACUUCCUUUAGGAUGAAUGGAGUAGUGUCUCAGGAGUGCUAGGGACAUUUCGAGUGCACUUACUUUAGGAUGAAUGGAGUAGUGCUAGGGACAUUUCCGAGAGUACCAUGAGCUGAGCUGUGCAGCUAAUGUGACAGAUGCAACCCGUUUUGUAAUCAGCCGUGAACAAGACAGUAGGACUCUACAAACAGCCAAAGAUUCACACCAACAUUGAACAGAAUAAACAAAAGAACAUUGAGAUAGUUCUUCCCUAACUUACAGUGCUUAGAUGAACAACCAAGCUACACUGUCCGGAGCUUGUACUACUAAAGUAAAAUCUUCCCUCUGCCUCAUCGACACACAAGGCCAGGGUAAAUAAAAACUACUAUAACUCUAUCAGACAAAGCAAGGUAAACCGAUCCUCCUUUCUGCUCCUAAAAUGGCAUUAGUAAGAUUGGAGGAUCAUAUGACACUGGUGCUAAACUCUAGUAAAUCUGAACAACUUAUCAAACAAGCAUAAGGUAUGGUCCUUAAUUAUCUCCUUUAGCUUCAUCUUGAGUGAGCGAGCGAUCAGAGCCCCUUGUAGCCCAGCUUCCUCUAUAUACAAUUAAAAUUCUUUUGUCUGGUUAGCGACGCCGCGGUAAUAAUCUGGAGCCGUUCAUGCAUCAAGGAGCUGAUCCAUCAGCAGCCAUGUCCUCCACUGGGAGGUUGAGGUCAGGCAGCACGAAGCCGUUUUGAGAUUCCUGCUUGGCUGCGGGCUCAUCAGGCUGCGGCCUUGCUUGCUGCCCCUCGGAUUUCGUUCCGUUUCGUUUGCUUGAUUUCUCUAACCUUGUCUGCAAAAUAGAGGAAAAGAUUGUUAUUAUACAUUUCAGAAAAAAAAGGUUUUAUGAAACAUAAUUUCAGAUGACUGCAGAAGGCAAAUCUCUUAUGAAUCCAUGAGCCCAACAGAGUAGACUUGGAAAGGAAAUUUGGGUUGUAGUCACAAUCUACCUAGCGUAGUUCUUAUAUUUUGGUAAAAGAGACAUCUCUGUGGAGGUGAAAUGGGAGGCAUAAGAGAAAAUGGACAAUGAACAACCACCAUGAGUCCAUGACCAAGCAUAAACAACCUGAAACAGGACUAAGAAGAUCCAAAAUGUUGGCCAUUACCAUGGCUGGACCUAGCUAGAUGUGCUUUAUGCCAGAGGAGACGAAAGACACACGGGAGAGAGAGAAAACAUGCAUGGACCACUCAGCCACCACGAGGCUCUAGAGAUGACACUGCACAACAACGGUGCAGUACAGGUUAACCGGACCAAAUGAAAUGGGGAGAGCUUUGCCCAACCAUUCUGGCUGGUUAGUACACUGUCUGUAUUUUUAAUGUGAUUGUGGAGCACAGAACCAGUGCAGUGGCAGUGUGGCACGCAAGAACUAAGGGCAUUAAAGAAGGCCACGGGAUUACCAUGUCCAGGAUCCGGGUUGGUGUGCAUAGAUUAAGGUCAUGGCCUGGCAACAUGGCGUUCUUUAUUGGGGGAAAGAUUCCAGACAUGUACGGCUGGUUGAAAACGAAGCAUGCAUGAACAGUCAGUAGAACACCUUGUAACUGCAUCAAUUGCGCAGACAAAGUGCAGUAGCUGAACUGCAUCUAUCACCAACUCUACCUUGCCAAAUGCCAAAGGGUUUUUUUGGGGGACGUCACUUUCCUAGCCCUUCCAAACGUGCAAGCAGCUUGAUGGGUGAAGAGGUGGUUGAGAACUUGAGAUUAUUGAGAUGGAUAAACAGGAUAAGAAUUCGAGCUCCUCCCACUUGCUUGCACUUCAUCCCGAAUGCGAAAGUCAAGAAGGCAAUCAACUAAAAUCCUCACUGACACUCCUAUACCUUUACCGUAAAAUUGACAGCUCGGCUACCACCUCACAGUGGCAAACUAUUGUUAUAAGUUACUAACUAUAUAUAGUACACGAACUUGUCACUAACCAUGACUCUUGAGAUGCAGUACUAGUAGAAGGUACAAACAAUAUUGUAUUAGUAGAAGCUAACCGGAGCUUCCAUACAUCGAGAUAGGAGGAGCUAAGCAGCGCAUGUGUUGAGACAGCUCCAGAAGCAAGCAGCGGCCACAUGCAGGCUCCACCCAGCCUAACUGACAAAGAGCUUCCUAUAAGACUAGAAAAAUCCAACUUACCCUAAAUUAACACGACAGACGCUGAGACGCAUGGCCAAGUCCGGACGAUCCACGGUUCAGUUUCAGAUAAGAUAACGAACGUCUAUCGCCACCUCCAGGUCCCAUACCGUGUGACCAUUUGGCUAAGGUGUCACUCUCCUCAGAAUGACACCCUUUCACAACACGACACGCGUCCUGCGGACUAACAAUAGCCCUAGUAUUUACUUCUCUCGCCCCAAAAUAAAAAAAUCUAGUCUGAUCUGUCCAGUAUAGGAUGUGUCAUUUAUAUCCCGUACUAUAUUUCUUUCACUGGUCCUUGGCUACUUGCCACUACCGUGGUACUACCACUAUCUUCUAAGCAGCUCAAGAGAAGAGAGAUACUGCAAGUGUGCCAGUGAUCCUGUCCGGCACUCCGGCCACACAUGCAGUGACACCGCACCUUUCACCGCGCAAAACAAAUACGUGCUCAUGCGGCAAAGCUAACCCCGGGCAGUUCGUGUAUGGUCAAAAAAAGAAAGCAUGGAAAUCGACAUCUAAACCUGCGAAAGGCUUAUCAUCAGCACCGGUUGUCAUCCGUUUUCAAAGGACAAACGGUGGUUGAGAGGGAUGUGGAGUGAAGAUCGCCACCAAACCAAACCAAGCCACACACAUAGCACUCUUCUCCUAGGAAGCCAGGAAGAGCCUAGGACGACGAAGUAAAGCACACACCAAGGAAGAGAGAGAAAAUAUCGAAGGACAGCAUGCAUUCACAAUGCCAGGGGACCACUAGUUCUCCAUUGGGAGGCUCAGGGGAACUCUACUUUUAGCAAGUUGGAAAGUUCUAUCACUUAUGCUUUAAGCUAUACCAACUGAUCAAACAUGCAGAAUUUUUAUUUGGGUUUUAUGAUGAUUGCGCACUCAGCGCCCCAACCUGGAAGCGAUUGCACGCCACAUGUGCACAAAAGAGAAAGAGGAGAAGAUUUGGUUAGAUAGCAGCAUAUGCCACUGACCUCUAGCUUGCAGUUUUCCUUGGACAACGCCGUGCAAGCUCUCUGCAACGCCACCAUCUCCUGUUUUCGGACGAGAAUAUAAACAAGAAACGGAUAAGAAUUCGAGCUAAAUUAACAGCAUAAUCCAAGUGAGAAGUGAAAAUCACGUAAAGGGGAAAGAAGAACUAAUCAACCUCGCGAAGGCCAUCGUUCUCCACCGUCAGCGACCGCACCAGCUGCUGAAUCUCCGGCAGCCUCUGCACACCAUACCGACAAGAAAACCAAGUUUAGGCCAAAUCAAGCCGUAAUAAAAGCCAAGAAACAAACGCGAUCCUUCUUUUUCUACUACUGCCAUCAAAAUUCGAUCUCGUUUCGUCACAGGACCAUCUGGUGAUGAUGAGCGUGGAUCUUUUCGGGCAGGCAGCCUUUGUCCUUAGGAUACCACUUUUGCCUCCCUCACCACGCUCUCUUUCCGGUGGCAGUGGCCGCACCAGCUGCCGCUUUAUUCUAGACUGGGUGACCGACUCCGCAACUAGAAAACAUUUUUUUAAAAAGAAAAACUCCGGCCAUUUGAACAGCCUACCAUCUCCUGCACGCGACUGGCUGAGUCACUGACUCUACUGCUCUGAGACUACUGUGUAGGCCAAAGACUUUCUUUUGCCGGACCUGUGCCGGACCUGUGCAAUCGCGCAAAUGAUGGGGGUGUACUGCUAGUAGUAAGCUGUAACUUGGGAGUACUCGUAGUAACUUCAUUCAUCAAAGCCCAGACCCAAAGCUGCUGCUCUAUCUAUCUACCGUGCUUUUACUGCAGAAAAAUGCAAAGGUGAAACAAAACAAAACCUGACUGCUUUCUUGUACCACUCGUCACUAAACAAAAUGCGCUUUUCCUGUGCUAAGUGCCGGGUCAUAUGUGUGACACUGAGUGAGUGACUGCAGUAGCUUACCAUCUUCUUCCGUGGUCGCUGUCCGGCGGGCCGGGGAGGCGGGGUCGGUAGGAUCAGCUGGCGCCGUCCGGCAGGGCCCACCUGUAAGCGAGAGAAGAGCACGCACGCCAUUAGUUAUACAGUUAUACUACUACUACUAGCACUCAUCAUCACACACCCAGCGAAUACUGUACUGGAAGUAGCUAGUAACGCGCUGCUGGUAGGAUCAAACAACACAACACGGGCCACUAGAGCCAACCAACUACAGUCCAACCAACGCUGCUGCUGCUGCUGCAUUAAGGAGGCGACCGUAGAAAAAGAAAGCAACAGGCAACGCAUGUUCCACCCAAAAGAAUAUUGUUUUCCAGGUGGUAGGAAGGGAAUUAGAUGAGAGAGUCUAGCUUAGCUUAAGCUUGGCUCUAAUGGGGGAAAACAUCACCUAACUAACUCCUACCAAGAUCCCACAAAACUGCCCCUCAUUGUUGCCCUACCCGCAUGAAGCACAUUUCGACAUGAUAGGAGAGAUCAACAACACGCACGCACAAACAAACAAACUGCUCAUCUUGCCAUCUUAUCCACGAUUAAUUAACCAACGGUGCGUGUGCUCCUAAUUUCUGCACCUAUUGUCCAGUAAUGGAAGCAUGGGCUCUCACCUCACCUGUACAUGACGAUGACAGGUGGGCCCCGCACGAGGUUCCUUCCCUCGCAGGGAAAAAGAAUAAAGAAAUAAGCCCAUAUGAAAUUCAGUUUACUCACUUAAAAUUGAGUAUCCGUUUGCCUCCUUUUCCCGCUAGGAUCGGAAAUCCCACCACAGUGUGAGGUGGGGCCCAUCCCACCAGGACACGUCCGCGAGCAAAGAGAGAGAAAAGAACCUGAAACGCCACGCGCCCACGUGGCGCCAGCCAAGUGGCCACGACGUGUUUCGCAUUCGCAUUCGCACACCCACGCAUGCAUGCGUGUCCCGCGCCGCGCCCACACGGCGCGCGCGAGGCGGCCAAUGGGCAGCCGCCACGUGGCGGCGCCACCCCACCCCUCUCUCUUUCUCUUCCAACGGAGAGCGCCGCGUCGGUUUGACUCCUCACUUCCCACGGCAACGAACGCGAUAGAGGAGGUCAGGUCCAGGAUAAGGGCGGGCGAAAUGACCGGAUUGCCCCCGGAAGUUAGGCUCGAGGCGAAUGGGCAGAUUGGGCAAAAGCGGUAAGCCGCGGCUCGUGGUUGGAGACUUGGGAGUGGGAGCCGAACCGGAACCCACCUACCCUUGUGAAUUGCCGCGGCUGCCCCCCUCCGCAAGGUAGGAGUCAACCGCACCAAACAGACACGCUAUGACAUGGUAGUACAAAUCCACCCCAAAAGAAAAAAAAUUCCCCGAAUUCAAAGUGUGAACUGUACAAGCACCCGUAGAGUCAUAGUGCUACUGGUACAACGCAGAGCUCGAGAGUAGCAGUAGUAGCACGGAGGUGGAGAUCCCGAAAUUGUUCGGAGAAGAAGAGGACGAGGAGAUCUGCGAGGUGGGUGAAGUACUAAUAGCCAUGGAGUUUUUACCGAAAUGACCUGGGUGAAAAGGUUGGAGGUGAAAGAAUGGGUAGGCAGCGAAGCUGCGAAGGUGGGAUUAAGAAAAAAGGUCACGCGAACGAAAAGCCGGUGGGACUAGUGGGAGAGAGAGGAAAAGCGAUGUUUCAUCGAGAAGUCAUCCAUCCAUCAUCCUCCUCUCGUUGCUGACACGGAGGGGUAGUUUCGUCAAAAAAAACCCAGACGAGGAACGGAAAGCGAAGCAGCCCAACCGCGAGCGCGAGCUGUGCGGGGGAAGGAACAAACAGGAGAGAGAGAUAGGGAUGCACGCGCGCGCGGCUGGGAGUACGUACCUUGGCCGGAGAAGGGGUGGGCGCGGCCGUGGGCGUAGUCGCCGCCGCCGCCGUCACCACCGGCGGCGGUGGUGGCGGUGGAGAGCAGAAGGCCCCGUCCUCGCCGCCGCUCGUCGACGCGGCGGAGCCGGAGCCGGAGCCGGAGCCGCCGCUGUAGUCGAGGGGAGACGCCGGGCUACCCCUGGCCCACCUCCCCUUGGUCGCCGCCGACCCCGACCCCGACGGCGAGCGGCGCCGCGACGACCGCGACCGCUUCCCCCGUGCCACCGUCGGCCACGCCAGCUCCUCCUCCUCCUCCUCCACCACCACCUCCUUCCCCUUCGCGGCAGCCGUCCCCCACGGCGGCGUCCACCCGGCGAGGUCGGCCCCGCGGAGCGAGCAGAUGAUGUCCGCCGCCGCGGCCACCGCGCACGCCUCAGCGUCGGCCGCGGUCAUGGGAGCAGCUUCCCUUCGACGAGUCGAGUCGAGACGAACCCUAGAGAAGAAGCCGCCAAAGCGGAGGAGGCGUGGAAGCGAGAGGGAGAUGUGGAGAGAGAGAGAGGAGGAAGGCGAGGGAGAGAUGUGGGAAUGGUGGGGGAGGAGCGAGGAGGAAAUGAGGGGGGCGUGGAGGCGAACCGAGCCCACGGCGUGGCGUCCGGGUUUUUAAACGCGCGGAAUAAAAGCCCACAUAUGGCCAAUAAAAUAAUCCAUUCCCACCACUAGUACUACUCACCACCACCUGUACAUGGCACACGACGCGCCGCGAGACCCUUCCUUCCUCUCCCAUCCCACCCCCACUUACACGUGGGGCCCACCAGCCGGGCCCCAUACGUCAGUGACCGGGUACCCCGCGUGCGUGGGUGGUGGCGGGACGCCAAACCUUGGACGCAGUGGGGCCCAGUGAACCCUUUCCGCCCUUUCGCGCACUGUGCCGGAUAGGAAAGGACGUUUCUAUCCUUUAGUGGGUCCCAUCUGUCGGUGAGUGGAGGUGCAGGGGUCAGUUUGGUAAAAGUGAGGCGUAGUACGCAAGGUAAGGUGGCAGUAGCCUUGGCUGGGGUUUCCGUGUGGUGACGGGUGUGUGCUAUAAAAGCGGCUGCCGGUGGCGGCGAAAAAAAAAAAAGAAAAAUGCCACUGGAUUUGUUUCCCCAUUUUUUCUUUGUUUCGAAAAAAAAAUCGUUUUCCGGAGACGUGCGGCGAGUCGGGUUUUUGUUCGUGUCAAGAUUUUAUUUUUCUCUUUCUCUUGGAUAUAAUAACUGCUUCUGUUCCUGUCGACUUCGGUACGGUAGAGACCAACCAGUGACCGGUUGCUUGUGCAUCCAUCUCGCUGGUUUUGGGACUGGAACGAAUACAACGAAAAUCAUGAGGUGAGUGGUGUUGUGGAUCAUGCUGGAGUACAGUUGGAUGCAGAUAAGAUAAGACGCUCUGUUUUCAUGUGGGAUUUCGGCUGAUUAAACGUGUGUGUUUGUUGCUACUCCUAUGUAUUUUUUGUGGAGUUUAUAGCUAUAAACCAUUCCGCCCAUCCUAAAAUAUAACUAUAUAAGCACUUCAAAAAAUUUACAUACUUUUUUACAUUAGUUAAAAGGAGAGGUGAAAUUAAAUGAUGUAUGGUUGUGAUUGGUUUUAAUGAAUAAGUAGGUAAAGAAAUUAAAUAAGAUAUAGUUGCGAAUGUCAACGAGUAGAUGGGGAAGUUGUCAUAUUUUGAAACAAAAUUUGAAUGAUAAUAUGUUGAGACAAAGAUAGUAACACAAUACUGUUAGACAAACUAGCAAUUAUUAACUUCGUUAUGAAAUAUAAGGUAUUUUGGCUAUCUAUUUGUAUUGCCAAAAUCCUUUAUGCCGUGGGACAGAUAGAUGUGAUAUAGGAUUCAUGACUAUGAGAAACGCCCAGGGGUCUUCCGUCUAGCUCCAAAAGGUGGUGGGCUAGACGACCUGGAUUCGAAGCCUCACUCCUUCUAAUUAUUUGAUAUUAGAUAUUUUCCUAAUAUUCGCGUUUUUUUUGAUUCAUGAAUAUAAUUCACCAAAGUUUCAUGCUUACAAUACUAUUUGAUGCAGUAAUUUGUCAUCUUUUAAGCAUAUAUAUAUUUUUAAAAAAGACGAGUAGUCAAUGUUUGAAAAUAAAAGGCUUCCCUGACAAUUACUCCCACUAUUCCCAAAUACAUGUCACGGUUGGGCACCACGAUUUUAAGCUUAACCACCAAUGUUUUAAACUAAUUAAACUACGAUUAAGGAAAGCUUAAAACUCAUGUUUAGAAUGCAACACUUCGAUGAUACCAUGUCUUUCAAGUAUUUAUAAUUUCUUGAACAAAAUGGCAAGUGAUAAAAUCUAAAUACGAACAAUGAUAAAUACUUGAAAACGGACCGAAUAUUUAAAAACGGGUGGCCUAUCAUACAGUACGUGUGGUACAUACGAUUUGAGCGGCUUCUUCUCCAGUUCUCGAUUUUUAGCUUUUUGAUACUUUCUACUACUAGUAGUACUAAGUACUAUAGCUUGGUGAUGUACCCCACUGUGCAUGCCGUGUUGUCGUGACAGUGCUAGUGUGUGGUGUCCAGCACUGCAGAGCGGUCUCGACGCGACUCUCGCGUAUGUACGUGGAGGGUAUUCUCCCCGCACAGCUAACUCCGGAUAGUUGCCGGUCGAAGCGACUGUUAUUAUGGUUCAGGACUUGCCGUUUGCCCUGAAAUUAGGCGUGUGGAGCUGUAUUUUUUUUAAAAAAAAAUUGAUCAUGUUUGUACAGUAUUAGAGUAUCUUCAGCGAUAAUUUCUAUUUUAAAACUCCUAUAAUUUAAAUAGGGCUGCUCUCAUUUCUUCGGUCCAAACAAUGUCCUCAACUUGUGCACACUACUGGCUGCAGGCGGCGGCGGCCGUGGACUCGUUUGAGAUGUAUAAUUUCUUUUUUUGAGAAUUUAUGAUUCAGUGUAUGGAUUCAAUCUGAGAUAUAUUUGAUUUGUGCUAUAUUUUUAGGAUUUAUGAUGUGAAUAUAUGAUUUGAGAUGUUAUGCUUUGAUUUGAGGAUUUGGGGUUUGAUUGGGAUAUGCAUCCCAUCCGAUUUGGGAGAAAAUUGAAGGAAAAAUCAUCUAGCAAAAAACAAUGAAAAAAGAAAAGAAAAGGUGGCAACCGAGAUUGCCGUUGUUUUCCUCUUUAGUCCCGGUUGGAGUUACCAACCGGAUCUUUAGUCCCGGUUAUUUCACCCGGGACUAAAGAUACCAACCGGGACAACAGUAGGUUCCCAACCGGUGACAAAGAUGGGUUCCCAACAGUGGCAGUAGUCUCCAUUUAUUAGCCCCUAUUUAUUUUCUCAUUUAUUUCAAUAUACACUCUAUAUUUAUGAUUAGUUUAGCCCACAACAAUUCAAAAAUAAAUAUUUCUAAUUCAUAUAAUUCAACAGUAUUUAAAUUCACAAUUUAAAUUCAAAUUCAAAAUUUAAUGUUUAAUGUAGUGCAUAAUCAAGAUUAUACUAUUUAACAGAUCAAAGCAUUCACCAAGAUUCUGGACUAAACAUGAAGUCCGAUCGAAAACUAAACAAAAAGAAUACAACCGUAUCACUGAACCGCGGUGAACUGCUUAUACCGAGAGCCUGUUCAGCAUAGCUCCAGCUCUAGCUCCACCUAAAAUAGGAGCGGAGCUAGGUGUAGCUCUCACAAAAUAAACUAAAGAAAUGGAAUUGGGUUUAGAUAGCUCCACAACUCCACUUCAGAUAAAAUUUAGGAGUUGGAGCUCUAUCGAACAUGCCCUAAAACACCACAACUAAAAUUAAACCGUAGUGAUCCUACUGUCCUACACUCCUACUGGUAGAAGACACAUUAAACAGCAGAGUGAGAAUUACUAACACAUAGAGGCUCCAAAUGCCAAAUUUUUUAACCGUGGAAAUGGCAUAUCCUAAAUAACAAAUAACUUAUAGAAUCCAACGUAUUCCAUCAAAAUAAAAAAAAAGCAUCCGAGAGCUCAAACUUCACCAUUACUAUCAUCACCACCAUCAAACUCUCGCUUGGUGGGAUAUUACACCGUUCCUUCCAAUUGUGGAUGGGGCCGGGGCUGGAGUUGGCCCCUAAGACUUAUUAGGGAUUUUGGGUGAGUGAUUUGGGUGCCUCCCUUAUGUCUAAUAGGGAUCUUGUUGGAUUUGAAGUUUUAACCUCUACCCUAAAAGAAUUGUUUGGGGCCGUGUUUAGGGUCUCUACCAUUAAAAAGAAUAAAAACAAUGCAACUAAAAGUAUUCCUAGCAUAUAUAUCUCUUUGUCCUAUAUCUCUAACUACGAACUUAGACAAGUAUAUCUAGGUUCAUAGUUAGGAUUUGUCUUUUUAGGACAAAAUAGUACUCCCUCCGUCCUAAAUAUAACAAUUUUUAGCCCUCAGGAUUUAUCCCAAAAUAUAACUUCUUCACCAACAUUCUCUUCACAACCAAUCAUAACCCUCCACCAUUCACUUUUCUCACAUAUCUCCAGUAUCACAACCCUCCACCACUUACUUCUACCUACUUUAUUAGUAACCGUGUUCAAUCUUAAAACUUCUUAUAUUAUGUGAAGGAUGGAGUAACUUUUAUACUGAGUGGUUUAAAAGCUAAGAUUGAAUAUAGAAAGCAAUAAUAAAAACAUCUGGAUUAAUUUAAAAUUUUUAUGGCCACCGAGAGAUCGUCGUGUACACAAUCAACGACCACUUCACAAUCUCGGAAUAUUAUUGUACAAGACAAUGUUUGAAAAUUGUGGGAGCCAUGCAUCAUGACCACGCAUGUGCUUUUGUGUACGUACGUGCAUACUCUAAAGAACAGUGAUCGGCAAAUCUAUGGCCAUUUCUAAUCAAAGAUACUAUAAAUAGUUUCCAUAAAUUUCAUAUCAUCAAAAAAAAAACUAGUAUUAGACAAUUCUCUUCCAAUACAAACACCAUUAUUUCAUACUUAAAUUUAAUACCACCUAUCUCAGAUGAUGUCUUGGAUGUUGUGUAAAAACCAUGUCUUAUGCAAGACAUGAUUUCAUUCUCUUUCCUCAUUUAUUCACUUGCCACAUUAUUUUUCAUUCUAGGUGGCAGCUAAUGCUAUGGACAUCAUCUUAAUUAUUGGGUUGGAAAUGACAUAAGAUACCGUCAGUUGUAAUUUUUGAAAAAAACUUGGCUGAUUGAUUGGAUGGCCACUAAUAAAUGCACCAGCUUCCCGUACGUGAUAUUUACUCCUGUACAACGGCGAAAGUGAAAAACGAAUGACUAAGGAAAGAAAAAUAUUUACAUGUAUAGGAGGAUUGGUGCAUGCCGGGCAAAUGUCAUUACUGUGACUUUUUUUUUGACACGAUGUCAUUAUGACUUAUUGUGACUGUGAUAGUACUAAUUCCGAACUAUUUCUUUAUCUAAAAAAUAUUGCCACUUGACAAGAUACUACUACCUCUGUCCCAAAAUAAGUGUAGCCAUGGAUAUCCAUGCCCAACAUUUGACCGUCCGUUUUAUUUGAAAAAUUUAUAAAAAAUUUAAAAAUAUUUAGUCACACAUAAAGUAUUAUUCAUGUUUUAUUAUUUAAUAGCAAUAAAAAUACUAAUCAUAAAAAAAUUUCAAACAAGACGAACGGUCAAACGUUAAACGUGAAUAGUGCAAAACUAUACUUAUUUUGGGACGGAGGGAGUAUAUAUAAUCAAGGUAGUUGCAUUUUACGCCAUGUUUUUUUGUUUCCAAGGUUGGCCAAGUUGAAAUUUGAGAUGAGGCAAAAGCCUUCCUGCCAGUCUAAGGCGCUGCUUAAGGGAGUUUAAGAUUUUGAGAAUAUGCUCGUUGGUAGUCAGCUUUUGAGAAUUUGAAGAAGCUGGGUUUUCCAGCUUUUGGAUUCUAGUACAUUUUCUGUAUUAUACAACUACAGAUUCUAAGAAUCUAGGUGACAAUCUAAACUGUUUAGAGAAGCUGGAGAUUAUGUGAGAAGCUGCGGCUGCUAGAAGCUGCUCCAAACAUGCCCUAAAACCGGUGUGUAUGUUGUUGGUCCACUCUAUUGAGAGGGACGUAUGCCCGGACAACAGAAGGGACUGUAUACUUGUUUUGUGGGUAAUCCCAACCAGAAUGGCAUAAGCCUGAUUCUCAGAAAUCAGAACCAACUUCAGAACCUUGGGCCUUCUCCAUUCCAUUUCACACCAACUUACUUAGAGCAUCUCCAACAGUCUCUCUAAAUUGGACUCUCCAAACAUCUAUAUAGCUAGCUCUCCAAUUGAUUUGGCAAGCCAAACUUAUUCCUCACUCCAACAACCUCUCCAUCUACACUCCCCAUUAUGAGCCUAUGACACUGGGACCCGCACGUCAGCCUCUAUUACUCAUGGCUGUGUAGGAGGCGGCAUCCUUGUGCGCCAUUUCGUCGAACAGGUUGCAGGCAGGCCGCGUCGGCAUGCCUGGGCGUGUAUUUGGUAGGCCAAGCGGGCCAGCAGCGGAGGGCGGAGCAGGCGAGCUCGUCGGCGGCGGCGGCGGUGGCUGGGUGGAUGGCGAGAGCGCGGCGGCCCUGGAGGAGGCAGAGCAACGGAGGCACAUAUCAAUCGAUCGGUGGGCGGCCAGGCGGGGGAGGACGCUGACGGGGAGUAGGAGGGCACCGGCGCAGGAAGGGGAGGGGACAGGGGAGCACGCGGUGGAGGUGGAGCGCACGGCGGAGGAGCGUGGCCACCAUGGGUGGGGAGGCGAGGCGAGAGGAGAGGAGAGGGGAGGGGGAUGACGACACGGCGGCCUCGGCAGUGGACGACGACGCGGCGGAGGGGCAGCGCCGGCGGAGGGACGCGACGGAGGGAGCGACGCCGGUUGUGGUUGGGGACGGAGGCCGCGGUGGAUGCGGCAGCGCCGGACUUGGUCAGGGACAGAGGCGGCGACGCCGGUUGUGGCUGGGGACGGAGGCGGCGGCGGACGGCGGUGCCGCAUGUGGCCGGGGACGGAAGCGGUGACGCCGGUUGUGGCUGGGACGGAGGCGGGGGUGGAUGCAGCGGCGCCGGACUUGGUCGGGGACGGAGGCGGCGACGCCGGUUGUGGCUGGGGACGGAGGCGGCAGUGGACGCGGCGGUGCCGGUUGUGGCCGGGGACGGAGGCGGCGGUGCCGGAUGUGGACACGGACGGAGGCGACGGCGGCGGUUGUGGCCGGGGACGGAGGCAGUGGCGAUGGGCUGUGCGGGAGGCGAGAGCGAAGGAAGAGGAGAGCGAGACAUGUGGGAGGGAUAGUGCGUGGGGCCCACAGUUAGCUAGCGGGUGUGGCUGGCCACAUUUGGCCAGUUCCAUAGGAUUUUUAGCCAGCCGGAUGGCUUGGCUAGUCAAUUGGAGAGUCUGUUGGAGAUUUUUUUUUUCUAUCUUAGCUAUAAUUUAGCUUGGAGAGCCAUUUAGCCACUCUGUUGGAGUUGCUCUUAGGCCCCGAUCGAGAGUGAGGGACGGGGAAUAAUCCCUCCGGCAUGGAAAACGGAGCAGGCCAUUAGCACGUGAUUAAUUAAGUAUUAGCUAUUUUUUUCAAAAAAUGGAUCAAUAUGAAUUUUUUAAGCAACUUUUAUUUAUAAAUUUUUUUUAAAAAAACACACCAUUUAACAGCUUGGGAAACGUGCGCGUGAAAAACGAUGUGGCGGGAGAAGUUGCCCACUGGAACUAGCGCACCCUUAUUUCUUAGGCUGUGUUUAGUUCACACUAAAAUUAGAAGUUUAGUUAAAAUUGGAAUGAUGUGAUGAAAAAGUUGAAAGUUUGUGUGUAGGAAAAUUUUGAUGUGAUGAAAAAAUUGGAAGUUUGAAGAAUUGUUUUGGAACUAAACACGGCCUUAGAUUCAAAUGAAAGAACUUGAUUGGUUACAUCUUUCUAGUAGUUUUGUUUUUCAAGUCACUUACUGUUUCCGAGUUAAAACCAACAAAACUUUUCCCUUCAAAUUUUUUACACCGAAUAGUUGAAAAAGUCAUCCAACUUAUGAUCAAUUCGAGAUGCUAAUUCCAAUUUGCACAUAUCCACUAAUAAGUACUACUCCAUCCUCUCCAAAAUAUAGCUAUUUCUAACACUUAAAUUUUAAGUUUGUAGCAAUGAAAUGUUCAAAAUUCCCCCAUUACCACUUUCCUUAAUAUUUGUUAAAAAACUACAAAAGUAUGGCCUGGUUUAAUUCCCAACUUUUUCUUCAAACUUCCAACUUUUUCAUCACAUCAAAACUUUCCUACACACAUAAACUUCUAACUUUUUCAUCACAUCAUUCUAAUUUCAAUCAAACUUUCAAUUUUAGCGUGAACUAAACACACCCUAUAUUUUGGGAUGGAGUAGUAUCUCUUGAGCCACCUCCCUCAGGCUUGACAAUUUGCCAUUGUGAUAUCUUUUGACACAUGAAUACUGGGAAGCAUUUCAAAUCACCCACCGUCAGUAUUUCUUCCUCUUUGACAUGCAGCUCACCAGCCAGAUAGCCCAACAAAGAAAAAAAACCCAAUGAUACGAGAUGGCUUCUCCAAACAACAGUUACUCAAAGGUCAGCAGCUACAUAGGUACAGUAUAUGCUCUAAACUGUAUGCUCCUAAUUGCCUUUAUCCACAUUUGCAUAUAUUGCAGCACACUCCAAAGCAUUGGAUACAGACUGCCAUCACAGUAGCAAGUUUCAUAUAAUUGCUCAUGUGCAUGGUCAAAAAUUUCUUGCCCUUGUGUAUAUAGUGCUCACUGCACAAAUGGUAUAAGGAAAUACUCAGCGUAGAACAACUGCAAGGAAUACAAACAAUGCAAAUGAUUAACAUUACCAAUGUUUAAUUGGUUAACAAAAUUCAUCGUAUAAACUAGAACACUAUCAUUAAUCACCUUCCAAAUGAACAUGUAAAAUGAUGUGAUCCACGCCUUGUUUUCAACGUCACAGUGCUGUGCUCUCUGCCAAAGUGCAAAGGCAAGCAGGCCAUGGCCGAAAACCUGGAUUAUCAAUGCAACAGCAAAAGGACUUCUCAACUUUCAAACUGGGGAAAUUUUUUUUUGAAAUGAACAAUUUUUCUUCUUCUUUUCAGAAGUGAAGAAUUCACUCACGGUGAUAAUCAUUUGACAUAGAUUUGUAGAUGAUGCUCCAGCCAAAAUGGCAGCCCCAUAUGCUGUUAAUAGUAUGUUUAUGCAGAGCCAAUACACCUAAAUCAGAUAAAAAUAGGAUUUUACACCAUUUUUAAAUCUGGAAUGACAUGUAGAACCAUUAUUUUGUUUUCCAGUGGUAGAAUUGGAUAUGUUCUUACUCUUUCUGGACCCAAACGUACGCUCAGGGAUUCGACGCCAAAAUGUCUGUCACCAUCAAUAUCUGGAAUAUCCUGAAAAUUCAGAAAAGGUCCCAGUGAUGAUAUUUGAAGAGAUGGAUGAAAUAAGGCUAUGACUGAAGAAAAGCCAUUGUGAUCUCACGUGAACAUAUAGUCAACAUAAUUGGGCAUUUACCUUGAAUAAAGCUAUAACUGAAGAAAAGCAACACAUGAAUAAUGUUGCGAAAACCACCGACUUUGUUGGUGCCAAGGGCCUCUUCAGAACAUGUUGCUGUUACAAGAAGAAUUCAAUACUAACCAAAGGGAAAUAAGGAAUUUGAACUUGAGAUGUAAACAAUGUUUUGUACUACCUGCAUAUGUGCAAAGAAAGCUAGCUGAACUAAGACAGCUCUUACAAAUAGUAUACAAGAUGCAGCGAGAAACGCGUUCCUUUUCCACCGGAGUAACGGAGCCUGAAAAAAAGAGUAUGAUGGAUUGAAAAUACAAGUAUUUAUAUGUUAGAUGGGAUCAUGGAACACCAUUUGUACUUACAAAGCUCGGUAAAAACUACUUACAUCAACAGAGUAUGCACUUCCAAGAAAGAAACUGAUAAACAAAGCACAUAACAAAGGAGCUGAUUUGGAUCUGAUUCCAAUGGCAAUGCUCUAGCAAAAGGAAACAAAAUGUGAGGAAGGUGUAUUGACAUAAAACCUGUUUUAUUCAAACUAGAAUAAUUGAUUCUUUAUUCCUGGCGUUGAACCUAAUAUACCAUGAUCAAGGACGUGAGUACUAACACUGCUCCAGUUGCCACUGAAAAUUCUCCUGACGCCAACGGAAGGCUGGGCUUAUUGACCUCCAAAAAGAAGUAUGAUUUAAUCACAAUGAUACUACAUAUCACAUGAUAGAAGAAAAUGUUUUCAAACAGCAAGUAAAAAAUCACCUUAUCAAUCUGGAUGUCAUAUAGUUGAUUCAGGCCUACAACAUAGAUAUUCAUACAUAAAGAAGAGGAUAAAGCCUGCACAUAAGGAAAAAUAAAUGGCUGUUGUAUAUCUAUAGACCAUUAAGAAGAUAACUUUAAGCAUCUGUUGAGCACAGGGUUCAUCAGGAAUUUAAUUUAAAACAUCUCUUGAGCACAGCAUUCAUUACAAAAUUUAUGUAUGAUACCUCAAGAAAUCCCCAUAAUGCUUUCAUAGUAAAAUCAUCUAGGCUCCUCAUUGGCAGGAGAGAAACUGAAGUGAUUCCUAUUAUCUGACAAACAAUCCAAGAACAAUAAGCAGUAGCUAGACAACAUGCAUCCGAAACUGCCAUACAAAAUUGAAUGAAACUCACAGUGCCAAAAAUUGUGUGGGGUCGGCAAAACCGAUAAAAAGCUCCCAGUUUCUGGGGAACUUCUUUGCAAAUUUCUUCAAACUCAGUGGCGAUGGAUUCGUGCUGAUCACCAGCAAUGGCAUAGCAUCUCACUUGGAGGACUGGAGAAUGUUGUCUUUUUUGCCUCCUUAUGCUUCUUGUGAGACUGGUAGCAUUUAAAAUUGCACUUAGUUUUACUUGUGAAGUUGUCAUAGUGGGCUAUCGAAAAUAUUAACCCCAGAUUUACGAGAGUGCUUGCCUUUGACACUGGUGUAGAGCAGAAUUUUCCACCGACAAUUUACCUGUAAUGUGUAAUUGAGGACAAGUGUUUAGUACAUUAGUCACUUUGGACAAAAUUAUAUUUUAACAACUUAUGUUUCAUGGGGGAAAGUGCACACUAACAUCUCUAAAUUAUUCAUCCAUUUUAUCAACAAGGUAUUUUAUUUCUCCUAAAAGAAGAGGAAAAAAAAUACAGUUACUGAAAAGGACACAACUAUGAAUUUGUUAAUUAGGAUAAACUUCAUUUCAGAAAUAUGCACCUUCGAAUUCUUCUAAAACUUAGUGGCUGAAAAAUUGAGGACAUAUUAAUCAGUAAUGCCCUAUAUUUGCAAAUUUUGGGACAAUUUGAACCAUGCCACACAAAUUUUACAAAAUUUGUGAUAUGCCACCCUGACCCACAUGUCAUUGACUCAUGUGGGUCUUACAUGUCAUUGAGAUACGGGUGGCAUAUCUCAAAUUUUGCAAAUAUAGGGUGUCAUGGUUCCAACAAACCCAAUAAUUUUAGUGGGGGCUUCGCAGGGGCUCCCAUGGUCCUCACGUAAGUAGUGGAGGCUCGAGACUCUACCGCCUUCAUGCUAGAUCCGCCCUAUACAAUUAAAAGGAUCGCAAGAUCCUGAAACUCUUCCGGAGAACUAGGAACCCAAAUGUACAAUCUUUUUCUUCAUAGUGAAAAACUUGAAUACAUGUUUGAUCCUGCAAUUAUCAUGCGCAUGCAGUUCAAAUGUUUUAAGGUUUUAUGCUUUAUCCCCCAUCUUCUUCUAUUUGUGGUGCAUCUAGGCUAGCUGGAUUUGAUCUACGAACAACCCAACCCGGAUGCCUGGAAUGUUGAUUUUUAUUGAAAAAACAUACUAAAUAUAGAACGAAAACACGAAUCUCUGUAUACCUCCCCAGGACAGUUUCCUCGUUCCAAACCGAGCCCUGAAUUCCGAUCCCCUCUUAUCUGCAGCACCCAAGUUAAAGAAAAUCCUCAAAUCAAACCGAAGUAAUCAAAGAACAAGACUAACAAAAGACAGUAUAAAAGAGUUGUGUGUCAGCUGGCGGCGGCCGGUUACCUUCCUGGACUUGCACGGUGUGCUGAUGCGCCGCCGGCUUGAUAGCCGAGCACGCCGCCGCCGCCGCCGCCGAUGAGGCUUGCAUCGUCUGGGAUCUUGGAAGAAGACAACGGACGGACGGACUAGAUGAGGAAGAACUGAAGAGGAGGAAAACCUAGGAAUUAAGCCGCCGGCCGGCCGGAUCGAGGAUUUAUGCGAGGGAUUAGCUGAUCUAUCGAUCGAUGGAAGGGAGAUGUGUGGAGUGGGGAUCGAUGAGUUGGGGGACGCAAGCUUUUCUGCUGCUGAUUAAUGCACGCAUGCAUGGCGUGCAUGUAACCGAACCAGCUAUGCUAGCCGCACUGCGCAUCAGCCAGCAGUGAUGACGACGCAGGCAGGCAGCUAUCCCACGCCGCCUGCCUGUGCUGCACUACAACUCACGCGUUGGAAACCAGGCCAUGGUCCACGGGAGUUAGCCGGGCAGUCAGCCCAUUGGGCCGCGAAAACGCGCGUCUAAAAAACCGCCGCAAGUUAUUUAGGAAAAACUUUCAAAUCUAACUAUACUACAAUUGUAAUAUAAUUCCACUGUAACUAUAAUAUUAACUUGUAUAUAAGUAUUAAAAUAAUAUACGCAACUUUAUAUCUAACUUAUAUAGAGAUUACAAUGUAGUUACAGUUAUAUUGUAGUUACAAAUUACUCCAUCCGUCCCAUAAAAAACCAACCUAAUACCGGAUGUGACAUAUCCUAGUACUAUGAAUCUGGAUAUAUAUCUGUCCAGAUUCAUCGUACUAAAAUAUGUCACAUCUAGUCCUAGAUUUGUUUUAUGGGACGGAGGGAGUACAAUGUAACUAUAGUGAAUUUACAUUAUAGUUACACUAUAACUAUACUAUAGUUACACUUGAAAGUUUUUUCCUAUAAAACUUGCGACAGUUUUUUUUUUAGCAAUUUUGGUUCUCGUUUGGAAUAAGUUUGCUUGCCAUCCAUCACCUUCACGUCGAGUUUAAACGGCAUCCUUAGACUGCAAUACUAGAAAUCUUCAACCCCAACUUGCAAAACCGGAUUAAUUAAGAUCAUCCGUCAGUAUAGAUGGUUGGUUUCAUUGACAUAACAAGUUGACUCGGUCCACUCAUGCUGACUAGGCGUAUACGUGAAAAAAAAUAAAAGUGAGCCCCCACAUAUAAUCCUCGCUCUCCUCCCAUUUUCUCCCUCCCUCAUCUCCAUUUUCUCUCCAUCUCCCUUUGGUUCUUGGAGCUUGAUGCAUCGAGCACGUUGCUAGAGAGCGGUGAUUGAGAAGUGGGGGCUAACCAGGAGCGGUGAUGAGGAAGCAGCUCAAGGCGAGGAGGUCUAGUGCGGCGAUGGGUCUGCCAUGGUGGUGACAGAGGCCAAACCGAAGUAGAAACAUCCGUAUAGAGCAGGGACUUCCUCAGCUUCCGAAUAGGAGGAGGAGCUCGUCAUCCAGGUUGGCUCUUCCCCUUUCACCUUCAACCUCAUCAGCUCGCCGCCUCCGUCGAGCUGUCGGGUAGGCGAGAAGCGACAAAAAGGAAUCGGGCUGAGCUACCGUUGCUGACUCGAUGUGGAGCGCUUCCUGCCGCAGGAGGCAUGAUAGGAGUUACCUAGCGAGUCGGGCAGCGUGAGUGGCUUGGGGCUGGAACUAGGACAUGGCAACGACACCACCGCUCGAGCUUGAUUUCCAUCGCCACCACCGUGGCAUCCCUUCCUCAACCUAGCGGCUCCUCCUCUCACUCUCGACAUAAUCAGGCAGCGACGGUAAGCCCCACUCCUAGCGGUAGGGAAGAGCCCAUCCCCAGUGUCACAGGACCACGUACAGGAGCACCCGAGGCGGAGUUACCGGGGCAUCGGGUCCUCUCCUCCGUCAUCGCAGACUACCAUUGCCCUCUAUCCUCUUCGACUGCUCACCGCCACCUUCCCAUGGACUGUCGGUGAGCUAGAGCUCGCCGACUCCCUCAUCUCCCUCCUCUUCUCCUUUUGCUGCCAUGGUCCACAAGAGCCCUCUCAUCACCGACCUCCCACCGCCGCGCUGUCUCCCGCGGACGGGCUUGCCAGUCGCUGCCACUCUCUCCUCCAUUGAGCUCCUGGGAAAGAGAGGGGAGAGGUGGAGAGAUGGGGAAGAGAGGGGAUAGUUGAGGAGAGGAGGAGGUCCACUUACAUGUGGACCACAUGUUUUUUAAUUUUCUUUUUGCUGACUAAGAUAUGACGUCAGCCCAAAACCAACCAUCCGUACUGUCAUGGAACUUGGCUUGGCCGGUUUCGUCUGUAUAAGGGGUGAAGAUUUUUGGUAUUACGGUUUAGGGAUGUCAAUUAAACUCCACGAAAACUGAGAGGCGAUAUGUGGACUUGUUUCUUUCUCGUUUUCUCCCGGAAUAAGUUCAUCUGAGGUCCCUUAACUUAUCGACGAAUCCGAUUUUCGUCUUUCAACCAGAAAAUCAGAUAUAAUAGGUCCCUUAAUUAUCAAAACCGGUGCAAUAUAGGUCAUAAGGAGGUUUGGACGGCGGUUUUAGCUGACGUGGUGCCUACGUGGCUAAUUUGACUCGGUCUUCAUCUAACGCGGCAUUGACGUGGCCCUUACGUGGCAAUUUGAUCCGAAAAAAUAGUAAAACCCGUGGGAACCAUAUGUUAGCUUCACAUACACAAUAAUAAAAAAUGGUGGGACCCAUGUGGGCCCUGCAUGUUAUUCUCAAUCCCCUCCUCUUCUUCCUCCUGACCUCCUCUCUCCCCCAUCUCACCUAUCUUCACCUCUCUCCCCUCUCCUCCCUCCUCUCACCGACGGAGAUGCGGACGGCGUGGAGGCGCGACCUCCUCCACUCCCGUCCCCAUGGGCUUACCGCCGACAGCCACCGUGCCUGCUUCCUCUGCCGCUGGUCGCAGGUGCAUCUGAGCAAGAGGAGCCACAUGCGGGACCAGACUGUCAGCGCCAUGGAUGCAGCUACAUGGCUAGGGAAUGGCUCUAAGCUGCUGCCGACGUGCAGCUCAUGGGCGAUACCCUUGCAGUCACGUGGCGCGUGUGUUGGAGGAAGCAACGGAGACGGGGAGGUGGCCGCGUGUCACUGAGGAGGACGGGGGCCCGGCGAAGGCAAGAGCGGCAACCGUUUCUGAGGAAGGCGCGGGGGCAAAAGGCGGUGCUGGAGAACGGCCACCGGAGGUCGAGGCGAGGGGGAAGCGGCGGCGACGGCAGGAACAUCCGGAGGCGGUGGAGGCAGGCGUGGCGGGCGACGAGGAGAGGGGUGGCGGAUGCCUGUAGUAGGCCCAUGGGGGGCGAGAGUGGAGGAGGCUGCGUCUUCAAGCCGUCCGUUUCUCCGCCGGCAAGAGGAGGGAUGAGAGGGGAGAGAGAUGAAGACAUGGGAGAUGGGGAGAGAGGAGGAAGAAGAGGAAGGGAUUGAGACCAGGGGUUUAUGUGGGCCCCACUAUUCUUUUUUAUUAUUGUGUGUGUGAAGCUGACAUGUGGGUUUUAUAGGUUUUUUUUUUCAGAUCAAAUUGCCACGUAAAUACCACGUUAUAUGAAAAACCAGUCAAAUAAACCACGCAAGCUAAAACCAAACCACCGGUUUUGACAAUUAAACGACGCAUUGGUUGACAAGUUAAGAGACACCAGAUGAACUUAUUCCUUUUUCUCCCGUAGCGCGCGCGGCCCACAGCCUACACGGCCCACCUCCCGCGCUACCCCCCAGUGGGCAGUGGCGACGCUAUCCUCUCCAUCCGCUCGCGGCUCGCGCUCGCCCAUCCAAUCCACCGCAAGCCGAAGCGUGAGCAAAGUGCCCUCGAGCCAUGGCCAUGUCCCUCUCCCUCGCGCGCGUCGCGCUCCCGCCUCUGCUGCAGCAGCAGGGGGGCGCCCCCAGGAAGCUCCACCCCGGCGCCCUCGCGUUCCCCGCCAAGUCGUUCUUCGGCGCGCCGCUGGCGGCCGUCGCGGUCUCCCCCGCGUCGGCGGCGGCGGCGUCGCCGCUCCGUCGCAGGCCGUCGUCCGCCUCCGCCGUCGUCGCGGCGGGGAAGGGGUACAAGAUGAAGACCCACAAGGUACGGCGCGGCUUGGUUGGUGCUGUUCUGGUGUGGAUUGCUGCUGCUGGGGCUGAUUGAUUUCUGUGGGAAUUUUUUUUCAGGCGUCGGCGAAGCGGUUCCGGGUGACGGGGAGGGGGAAGAUCGUGCGGCGGCGCGCCGGGAAGCAGCACCUUCUCAGCAAGAAGAACACCAAGCGCAGGAAGAGGCUAUCCAAGAUGGUAUGCUUCUUCUUCUUCUCUUCUCCCCCCACCACCCUGCAAUCCAGAUACAGUGCAGCUCAAAUUCUGGUCUACUAGUUGUCCAGCUUAUCUAGCCAUGGAAUUUGCUGGUGUUCCUAUGCUUAAUUUUGGAUUGGAUUGCAAUGUGAGCUGUGGAAUGCUAAAUUGCUAAGUGAGACUGUGAGAGUGACUGAGUGAGUGUGGUUCAGCUCAUGGUGCUAUGGAAUGCGCCGAAUUUGGGAUGUUCUAUUUGUGAAUUUCGGGGCAAUAUGCAUAGCUGUCUCCUAGUACCUAUGUGGCUGAAUCUGAUUGUGGGUCACAUAUCUGUGCAUUCUAGAUUGUAUGGGAAUCAAAUGAGUGGCAUUUGUAGCUUCUUUCUAAACUUUGAUGUGUUCAGCUCUGCUGUUCGCGAUAACUAAUUAGUAAUUUCACUCAUUUUUUUUCAGAGUUCAUGGUCCACUAUUAGUUCUUACAACAAAAAAUAUUUUUAGAAGCCACUUCUUUAUGUCUAUGUGCUAUUGUGCUAAGUCCUACUUAAUAUUAGCAUAUUUUUAAAUUGCUGAAUAAUAAUAUGCCAUGCUCUUUGAGUAUUUUUUGGGAAGUUAAAAGAUUGUCGAAUGUCUUAUCCAUUUGAUUAUUGGGGAUCUGACAACAUAAUUAACAGCCAUAAACUUUGUUGUAAUAUUAGAAGCUCAGUAGGUUGAGUGUUAUAAUUAGUGUGCACACGCAAAAGUACAUACCAGCAAUUGAUAAUUUAAUUGCUCAUCUAUCCCAAUCUCCCCUUGAUAUCAAUCCAUGAUUGGUAUGUGUCCUUUACAUUUUUCUGUUCUAAUAAUAAUGUGCAAAUGCAUCAUACACAUUUUGCAUUGGAGUGUUUUGUCGAAAUGAAGUCCACUAUUUUUGUACACUUCUUCUGUAACUGAGUCUCCAUAUUAUUUUAUAGAGGUUUGGUCUUUCCCCCCUGAAGUUCAGUCUUCCCAUUUCUUACCUCUCGGAUCCUUAAAGUAAAGCACACCCUACACUAAAUUUGAGAUAGGAAGCUUUCUUGUAGGCCCAACAUCUGUUCUACUUGUAUCACCAAUGUUUGGUAAUUAAGCGGCUGAAAAGAAACAUUAUUACAAUAAGAAAAUAACAAUGAUUUGCUGGGGGUGUAGUCUAUUUUAGUAGCUUCUGAAGUCCUAAAAGUGUCAUCAUAAAUCAAGGACAACUUCACUGGAAGUCUAAAACUUGUCAUUGUCUACCGCCCUCUAAGAGAACAUUGUUAUCUUUCUCGCAGAUCCAAGUUAACAAGAGCGACUACAACAACGUGACGGGCGCACUGCCCUACCUCAAAGUGAACAGGAAUGCAGAAUGAGAUCUCCUAGGUCUUGCAAACAUGCUUCUGUUUCGUUUCAUCAAAUUGUAAUUUUGUGUAUCUUCUUUGUAUUUCUUUUCUGAAUACCAAGGUCCCAAGUCAUACCAAGCAAGCACAAACAAUUAUUCAUGCCAACAUGUUCAAAAAUGAGUUGCACUUGCACGAGCUAGUUAUUUACAAGUCCUUUUUCCCCUUUUGACAAAGAAAAUUCCAACUGAUAAUGAAAGCAACUAUUAAGGAGUAAGAACAUGAGUGGUUGACUAUGCAAGGCGUCUCCCAUUAUACCUGUGACUAAUAGCAUCUGAUUUAAUUUGCAUUAAGUAAUAUGUGCAGGCUUAAGAAGUGAAAAAAGUCGUUUAUUUGAGCUCUUCUGUGUGAAACUGCGAACUCACCUAAAUGGACAUCUAAGCAUUUUUUGGACUAUAAAAUAAACAUCUUUUGCUUAAUUUAGCAAGGAGACCGUUUAUUUAUUGACUCGUUCACACGAUGCCAAAGUGACAUCUAUGUAUUUUUUUUUAAUUUAGCAAGAAGACCGUUUAUUUAUUGGUUUGUUUGGUUGUAUGGCGGCAUGGCGCCACCCAUUGCCCAAAUCUACUGAGUUAGUGUUUGAUUAGUUGUUGCAAUUGUGGCAAUCCAUAUUUUAGUACUCCAUGCGCUCAAAUUCCAUACACACAAUUCCUAGCUAAACAAUGCCACCCCGUUGGCAAUCCACACUGGUGACAAAUUGAGUUAUGACACGGUUAGGUUAUAGUCUAUCAUGUCCUCAAUCUGCAUAUGUGGUAUGCACAUACAUUUUUAUUGACUUCCAUGCAUAUAGCAAUUGAUUAAUAACAUUGAAAUAAGGGAGGAUCAAAAUAGAAUAAGAUUUGUUUAAGUUUAGUUGUUGGUGGACCCCCACCAGGCCACCACAGAGAGGCAACCGUUUGAAGGAAAAGCGAAAAACGAAUUGUGCAUUAACUAAAGUCAUUCCACUUGGAGUUGAUAUUCACUAAAGAAAAGUUCAAAAACAAACAUUGAUAACCUACUGCAACCUAUGGAAAGUCAUUCUACUCGAAUCCAUGAUUCCAAUAGAAAUCUAAAACCACAGUAGCAACGUUUAUUAUACAACAAACUCAUCCCAAAACCAUUAAAUAUCAACCACAUCCUCCUACUUCUAUGGAAAGUAAUGCUGCCCGAAUGAUAGAUUCACUACAAAAUGUGCACAACUGUAAAAAAAUAACACCAGACUAUUGAAAAACAUAUAGAAAAUCAUUCUGCUCAAAUCCUAAGAUUCGCUAGAGAAACCCGAACCACACUAGUGACAUUUAUUAUACAAGAAUGUCAUGGUAGAAAUAAUUAAAUUACAAUAAGAAGUUCCAACUUCUACGGAAAGUAGUUCCUUUGAAUCAAAGAUUCUCAAAAUAGAACAUGCAAAACCAUCAAAUAAUAACUAUAGGCUAUUGAAACUUAUAAAAAGCCACCCCGCUAGAAUCCAAGAUUUGCUAGAGAAACCCAAAACUACACCAACAACUUUUGUUAUAGAGCAAAUUUCACAAAACCUCAUGUUUUGGGGGCAUUAGAAACAAAUACCCUUGGUCUUGUAAUUUGUUUCAACAAGCCCCGAAUUUUGAGGCAACAUGUUUUAAAAGACAUAAGCACAAACAUUGAUUGUCCAUUUGGCUGUAUAAUAAUUGUUUAAAAAAAUAUAUGAGACAUUUUACUAUGUAUACACAUUGGCAUAUUUUUCAACAAUCAUUGGUUGUCGAUAGUAUGAACAUUUGUAUAUAUAAAUGGUAGACAUGGCAUUAUUAGUGUGGAUUAUGUUAUGAUUUUUCAAUCAUAGAGUGCGAGUGAGAAAGGAGAUGAAGCAGAAAGAAUGGACGUGUAUUUAGAGCAUAUUAAUGUGAAUAUAUAUCUAAAUAAUGUAAUGCAUAACAUUGGAAGUGAGUUUUUUUUUAAAACAUAAACCUAGUGUUUCUUGAAACAUCUUGCCCCCAAAACAUGGGGUUCCUUGAAACAAAUAAGAAUAAAUAGGGUUUUGCAUCACGGAUGCCUCAAAACCAGGGAUUUUGUGAACUUACUCGUUAUUUAUAUAGCAAUGCUAAUGUGAAAACCAUUAAAUUAAUAACAUGCUAGUACUUCUAUGUAAAGUAAUUCCACUCAAGUUAGAGAUUCGCUAAAUAGAAUAUGGAAAAUUGUCAAAUUAUAAUAAUAGGAUAAAUGAAAAACUUAUGACAAGUCAUUCUGCUCGAAUCAUGAGAUUUGUAGGAGAAACCCGAAACUACACUAGCAACAUUUGUAAUACAACAAUGUCAUCACAAAACCAUUAAAUUACAACAACAAGAUCCUAUUUCCGCGGAAAGUAAUUCCGUGCAAACCAGAGAUUUGCAAACUAGAACAUGCAAAGCCAUCAAAUAAUGACUAUAGUUAUUGAACCUAGAAAGUCAUUCUACUCGAAUCCCAAGAUCCAUUGAAGAAAUCCAAAAAAUGCACUAACAAAAAAAAUUAUAGAGUAAAUUUCACUAAACCCUAGGUUUUGGGACAUUUUUAGCAUAAUACCCUAGGUUUUGUAAUUUGUUCCAACAAACGCUUGGUUAUGGGGCAUCAUGUUUUUUUUUAAAAAAAAAUCACAGGCACAAACUUAGAUAGUACAUUGGGCUAUAUAAUAAUUGUUAAAAAAACUCGUAUGGUACUUUUUUUUACUAUGUACACACAUUGGCCAUAAUUUUAACAAUAGUUGGUUGUCAAUAGUAUGACCGUUUGUGUAUGUAUAUAAGUGGUUGACAUGGCGUUAUUAAUGGGGAUUAUGUUAUUUGCAUUCAUAUAGUGUGAGUGAGAAAGGAGGCAAAAUAGAUAGAUGGGCAUUGUAUUUAUAGCAUAUUAAUAUGUGAAUACAUGCAUAAAUAAUACCAUGUAUAACUACAAAACACGAGUAUUUUACAUAAAACCGUGGUUUUUUGAAAUAUUUUUACCCCAAAACAUGUGAUUCCUUAAAACAAAUCACAAUAAUGGGGGGGGGGGGGUUUGCAUUACGAAUGCCCUAAAUCUUGGGAUUUUGUGAAAUUUACUCUUUAUAAUAUAUUAUAGAGCAACACCAACAUGAAAACAUUAAAUUACAUUUCAUCAAUAAAUCCACUGUUUUUGUGCACUUUUUCUGUAAAUGAGUGCAAUGGGUGUUUUGUUGAAAUGUAAAUCCACUGUUUUGUGCACUUUUUUAGUAUCCAUUAUACUUUAUAGAGGUUUGGGGUUUCCCCCUUGAGGUUUGCUCUUCCUGAUUCUUACUACAUCUUAUAUACUUAAAUCUUACCUUACACUAAAUUUGAGAUAGGCAGCUUUCUUAUCCUUCCCAACAUUAGUUCUACAUGUAUCACCAUUUUUUUUUCAGAAUUAAGGACCUGAAAAGAAACAUUGUUAUUAUUAUUUUCUUGUAAGAAAAUACCAAUAACUUACUGGUUAUGUAUAGUCCAUUUAAGUACUUUAGUCCUCAAAGUGUCAUACUGUGAAUCAAGGGGUAACUUCAUUGGAAGUCUAAUACAUGUCGUUGUGUGCUUCAAAACACAAUUUACAUGUCCUCUAAGAGAAUGCACAUUGCUAUCUUUAUCGCAGGUCCAAGAUAACCAGAGCGACCACAACAACGUGAUAGGCACACUGCCCUAGCUCAAAGCGAACCAGAAUGCAAAAUAAGAUCUCCUAGGUCUUGCAAACCUGCUUCUGUCUCAUUUCAUCAACUUGUAAUUUUGUGUCUCUUAUUUGUAUUUCUUUAUGAAUAUCAAGGUCCCAAGUUAGAUCAAGUAAGCAUAAACAAUUUUUCAUGCCAACAUGUUCAAAAAUUUUGCACGGUCUAGUUCUUUACAACAUUUUGCAAGUUUUUUUUCCCCUUUUGACAGAGAAAAUUCCUGUUCAUAUUGAAAGCAAUUAGUAUUAAAAAGUACAAACACGGGUGAUUGACCAUGCAAGGCCAGCUGAAAUAAACCACAAAAGGACAAUCCCUAUUAUACCGGUGACUAAAUAACAUUUGAUUUAAUUGCAUUAAAUAAUAUAUGCAAGACUUGAGAAGUAAAAAAACAAGUCAUUUAUUUGAACUCUUCUAUGUGAAACUGUGUGCUCACCAAUUGAAAUCUACGUGCUUUUAUUGGAAUACAAAUAAACAUCUCGUGUUCAGUUUAGCACGAAAAUCGUUUAUUUAUUGACGUAUUCACGGCUUCAUGCCAUGCCACAGUGAUAUCUAUAUUUUUUUUAUAGUAGAAGAAUAUCAUUCUUUGAGGGCUUCUUUGGUUGUAUGCCACACAUUCCCUAAGCCUUAGGUGUGUUACAAUUUAUUGGGUUAGUGUUUGAUUUAUUAUUGUAAUUAUGGCAAGCCACAUUUUGUUACUUCAAAUGUCAUACACACAAAAUUCAUAGCAAAACAUUCUCACCCUUAUGGCUAAUAAAACAAUGGUCACACUUCGUGAGUUUGUGUGGCAAGUCACACUUGUAAAAAAAUGAGUUAUGACAAGGUUAGGUUAUAACCAAACAUGCCCUUAAUCUCUAUAUCACAAAACCUCUAAAUACUAGCUAAAGUCAUUCAACUUGGAACCUGUAUUUGCUAAAUAAAUGAACAAAAACUUAUGUAACACUCAUAAUCUAAUAGAUAAAUCUAAAACUACAUUAGCAUUGUUUAUUAUACAAUAAGCUCAUCGAAAAAUCAUUAAAUAUCAACCACAUGCUCCUACUUCUAUGGAAAUUGAUUCCUCUCGAAUCAUAGAUUCACUAAAUAGAACAUUCAAAAUAAUCAAAUAAUAAUGGCAUGCUAUUGAAAAAUGUAUUGACCACAUUUACUCUUUAUUCUACAGCAAUGCAAACACGAGAACAUUAAAUUAUAACAACAUGCUUCUACUUGUAUUUAACAAAUCUCUGAUUCAAGCGGAAUUACUUAUCAUAGACCUUGCCACCGUGCUAGUGUGAGUAACAUUUAUUAUCCAACAAAUACAACGGAAGCUUUAAAUAAUCAUUUUGUUAGUAUCAUAGUGCUAGUAUCAUCAUUUUGCUGUAUUUAUAGCGUAACAAAUACAACAAAAGUUUCAAAUAAUAUACACUAGUACCAUCAUUGUCACCAAUGAAUUAAUUGAAAGCCAGCCACACUAGAGAUGGUUUUCAACUAUAGCACACAUGGAGUAAGAGCAUUUAACUAUUUACCAUUAUUUGGCAAUCAUAUCUAAAUAACGACAAACUAUUGAAAGUCAAAGAAAGUGACAUGUUAUUGGGACCGACAGAAAGUAAUUUUGCUUAAACCCAAAAUUCACCAAAGAGAAACAUAAAACCACACUAGUAAAAUGUAUAUAAAAAAAUUAAACCCAAGGGAAGAGACGUUCUAAAUACAUUGCUUUAAGAUAAAAAAAAAAUCCCUAAAAGCCGGUUAGAUGCACCCUAUCACCUUAGCUACAUGCCACGACCACGGAAAACACAUAGCGAUGGACCUUUUUUUUUUGCGUGAGCCAGUAGUGAUUGAGCCCUCGUCAGCGGCCUCACUCGUUGGGAUCUUACCAUCGUGCUAUGAACAACAUAUAUAAUUCAACAAAUACAAUAAAUGAUUUUUAUAUUAUACACCUAGCUUCAUCAUUUAUGAAAACCAGCAAAACCAGAUGUGGUUUUCAACUGUAGCCCAUAGAAAAAGGGCAUUUAAACAUUUACCAAUAUUCGGUGCACACACAUUUACUCCUCGCAUCAAGGCUCUCGCAAAAGUGGGAAGAACAGUCCAAUAGAACAUCAACCAGUGAAGUGUUAGUGGCAGCGGAAGAAGAAACAUGCAUGCAACAAUAGUCAGGAAUUUAAAGCUAGGGAUUUGCACGCACACAGGCCAAAAUACCUUCCAAAUUUCUCUGCGAGGGAGCGCGUGAAUUCCACCCCCAUCUACUGUCCUGAUCCUCUCCUCUCCUCGUCGAUAUAAAUGACGCCCUCCCCCUCGCUGUUGCACCCAUCCCUCUCUGACCUCGAGUUGCAGCUUCUUGUGCUGUUUUGAGCCAGCAUUCGAGGGAACCCAUCGGAAAAGAUCUGAAAGGUGGGGGUUCUAGGAGGGUUUCUUGGUGUUCUUGUAUUGGUUUUGGUGGGUUCUUGCUGGGGGUGCGGAGGGGGAGGGAGAUUUUGGUGGUCAGUCGUUCGUCCAGAUUGGGGUUUUCUUGUUGCUGAUCGUGUUUGUUUUUUUUUUUACCAAGGGGAUCCAAGGGACGAACAUGGCGGCGACGCAGGCGACGGCCGCCAGAAAAUUCCCAGAGGGUUUGCGCGUGCUUGCCGUCGACGAUAGCCCCGUUUGCCUCAUGCUCCUGGAGGCGUUGCUUCGCCGGUGCAAGUACCAACGUGAGUUCUUGGCUUGUUAGCCGAGUUGUUUAGUUAGAUCUUUUUUUUGUAUAUAUUUUUUUCUUGUUGUUUGCUUGAUUUCUGCGGUGGCCGGGAUGUAGCGACGAUGACGAGGGACGCGGCGACAGCGCUACGGAUGCUCCGGGAGAGGCCGGGGGAUUUCGACCUGGUGAUUAGCGACGUGCACAUGCUGGACAUGGACGGCUUCAAGCUUCUCGAGCUCAUCGGCCUUGAGAUGGAUCUCCCCGUCAUCAGUAAAACCCCUUCCUUCACACCAACUUUCCAUUUUUCAUGCAUGUCAUGGCUUCCCUUUCUUGGUAUUUGUCCCUUUUCUCUUGGAAGUAGAUGUCUAAAGAAGUAGGAAGUGUUGCUUUCAAGUAGAUCUGUUGAAUGGUUGUUUGUUAUACAUUGGAUACCACGUGAGAUCCUGUAUAUUUAUUGACUUCACACUCAUACUUGGGCUGAUAGAUGGUACUAGGUUGGAGAAAAGUGGUCACAUGUCUAUUAUGUGCUUGGUCUUCACAUUCAUCAAUAAUAAUCUGAACAUGUAACGGAAUUUCAGUGGGGAUAUUAUGUCGUUGUUUUAUGAUCCGUUAUAGUUGUUGUUUUGUUGGCGUUACUACUUCCAAGUAGAUAAGUAGAUAAAUCAAAUGGUUUGUCGUACAUUGAAUAGUACUUGAUAUUCUGUAAAAUUAUUGACUUCAUUCAUACUUGGGUUGGUAGAUAGUAGGUUAGAGAAAAAUGGCCAUUUGUCUAUUAUGUGCUUGGUCUUUAGAUUCAUCAACAAUAAUCCAAACAUAUGUAUAGCGGAAUUUCGGUGGAUGGAAUAUUAUGUUGUCGUUUUAUGGUCCAUUGUACUUGUUCUUUUGUAGGCGUUACUAUUUGCAAGUAGAUAUAUUGAAUGGUUCGUUGUACAUUGGAUAGCACGUGAGAUCAUAUAAACUUAUUAACUUCACCCAUACUUGGGCUGAUAGAUGGUAGGUUAGAGAAAAAUGGCCACGUGUAUAUUAUGUGCUUGGGUUUUAGAUUCAUCAAUAAUAAUCCGAACAUGUAACGGAAUUUCGGUGGAUGGAAUAUUCUACUGUUGUUUUAGGGUCUGUAGUAGUUAUUCUUUUGUUGGUGGUACUACUUUCAAGUAGAUAAAUUGAAUAGUUUGUUGUACUUAGAUAGCACGUGAGAUCCUAUAAAUUUAUUGACUUAAUUCAUACUUGGGAUGAUAGAUGGUAGGUUAGACAAAAAUGGUCACAUGUCUAUUAUGUGCUUGAUCUUUAGAUUAAUCUGAACAUAUAACAGAAUUUCAGUGAAUGGAAUAUUCCCUUGUCGUUUUAUGGUUUGAUAUAGUUGUUCUUUUGUUGGUGUUAUUGUCGAAUCUGCAUUCGUGUAAUCGUGUUACAUGUAUUGUCCUAUUUUUUCUAUUUAAUGUGCAAAAUAGUAAAACCUAUAUCAUUUGAAACCGUCGAACAUAAAAGUGACCAUAACUGUAGCAUGUCAUUGUCUAGCACGUGUGAAAUAUUUGCUUACAAUAAAAGAUGGGAAAAACAUGUGUAAUACCUUAAAUAUAUUCAAAAGAACAGAGUCCAUAUAUAACUAGCAUCAUCUACGCCACAUUUUUUUUCCUGAUCCGGAUCCACAGGCAACAGUUCAUGAUGCCCAGUUUAUUGAAACAAAUUCUGAUUGCUGACUAUACGCUGUGCAGUGCAAUCCGCAAAUGGGGAGCUUGAAACUAUGAUGAAGGGCGUGACCCAUGGGGCAUGUGACUACUUGGUGAAACCAGUGAGCCUCAAAGACAUCCAGAACAUAUGGCAACAUGUGUGGAGGAAGAGAAAGCUUGACAUAAGGAACCACAAUGGCGGUUACAACGACGGCGGUGAGCUGGUUGGCGCGACGCGGACCAAGAGGAAGUACACAAGGAAGAUGAGAAAUGAUGGAGAUAAUUAUGGUGAGAACAAAGAGAACAUGGAUUCAACUCUGAAGAGACAAAGGGUUGUCUGGACACCUGAGCUGCACCGGGACUUUGUCAUUGCCGUCCAUGAGCUUGGAGUUGAUCGUAAGAGCUCAUGCAUCAUGUCUCAGUUAUCAAACAAUCUUUUUCUUUUUUUCAAUUUGUCUUAAGCAAUAAAUAUUUUGAUUAUGUGAAUGUAGGUGCUGUUCCAAGGAAGAUAUUGCGGAUGAUGAAAGUGGACUACAUGACCAGAGAGAAUAUUGCAAGUCAUCUUCAGGUUUAUAUCUACACUUAUGUUUAAUUUCUAUGUUUCUAUAAUUAAAGAUAUUUGGAUUACUCUUUUCUGAUCGAAAGUGUUCCAUACAUAAACCUUUCAUAUCUUCUUUUAAUGUGUGCACACAACUAGUAAUCAAUUUUUUUGUGAUUUUUUUAUUGUUUUCCAAUGAGUAUGGACACAUCUCAACCAUGUGUUUGCCUUUCUUGGUUUCAGAAGUAUCGGUUAUACCUGAAAAGGAUCAGCACUCAAACAGGCAUGGAUCCUGAUCAAUUUCCUGAAAAAUGGAAGUAUAUGAAUGAACUGGAUGCUCUGAAAAAUUACUGUGAAAAUGGGAGAUACCGUCUAACCCCAGCCAUUGCCUCCUCAAGCUCGAGCAAUCCAUUUGCAAGGAUGAAUUCUGCAUCUGCAUUGGCAACAAAUGGCUUUCUGCCCACUCACUCAGUUCAGCUCAAGAACAGCCAGAGAAACAUGGCCAUGGGGACAGUUGGCCAUGGUGGAAGCCCGGGCAACAAUCCUGUGUUUCAGCCACUGCAGAACUCAUCAAAUGCAAGAAAGUGCUUCCCAUCUGGCCCAUCUGGGAGCUCAUUUGCAAACAUAUCAAAUGGCUUGGUGUUGGAUACAGACGAUUCUGGUAGCUCAUAUGCUGGCAUGUUCUGUAAGAGUAUGUGGGAGACAAGCAAUGGCUCUCCAUCUUGCCAUUCUGGCAACUCGUCUGCAAACAAGUCAAAUAAUGGGGUUUCGGCGCCUGCAAAUCAGUUUCAAGUACAGUCAAAGUUUGGGUUUUCAGCUCUUGCAAAUCAGUUUCCAGUGCAGUCAAAUUGUGGGUUUUCGGCGCCUGCAAAUCAGUAUCAAGUGCAGUCAAAUGGUGGGUUUUCGGUGCCUGCAAACCAGUUUCCAGUGCAGUCAAAUGGUGAGUUUUUGGCGCCAACAAAUCAGUUUCCAGUGCAGUACCCUGAAGUGAAUAAUCAGCCUUUGGUUCAGAUGAAUCAAUCUUCUACAAACCACUUCAGCACAAUUGGCAAUGAUUACCAAUUUCCGGACCUUGCAAACUGUAGCAAAUACUGGCAACCUACAGCACCAUCGAUGUUUCCUGAUCUUGGUCACAAUGAUGGGACAUCUUUCCGCCCGUCGCAGGCGAACAUCGCCAAUAUCAACCAGCUCUCAAGCUUUGCAGCCUCCAGUGGCCAGGAACCGAUGUUUGGAGAUGAACUACAUGGUCAAAUGUCACCAAUCAUGAGCACCAUAUCACUGUCAGAUUUCGAUGAUCAGAUGGGGUCAUUCAACAUAGGAAACGACACAAGCCCAGCAGAGAUGAUGCAUGACAACUUCUCACUUGGUAGUGACUCGAACAUCAGUUCUUCAACACCAACUGAUUCAAGCUUCGGUUCUACAUUUCCUGACUUUCAUCUCGACAGCCCUGAGAUGCCGGCUCAGAUGCUGAAUGGUGGGGAUGAAGAUGGCAUUCUUCUCCCUGUGCUCGAUGACACAGUUGAUCAGCAAGAUCUUUUUGAUCAACUAGAUGAAAACAAUGGUAGGGAAAAACUUGGUAGUGGCCGAUGUGUUAGGAAGGGUCCCUUUGAAUGUUUCUUUUAGAAGAGCAAUUGUAGGGAAAAACUUGGAAGAUUGGCUUGAAAUUGUUUCAAAGGUGGUGAGUGUCAAUUUGAAUGAUAAGCAAGACCAAUUCUUUUGCAAGAGCAAUAAAAAAGGGUUGUUUUAUGUUAACUCCAUGUAUAAAGCCCUUAUGCUUAAUGGUGUAAUACAUAGGAAAUCUUUAAUUUGGAAGCUAAGGAUUCCUUUAAAAAUUAAAAUUUUCCUUUGGUAUAUUGAAAAGGGGGUGAUUCUAACAAAAGAUAAUCUUGUUAAAAGAAGAUGGAAGGGUAGCUUGCUUUGUAGCUUUUGUAACUCUAAUGAGUCAAUUCAACAUCUCUUCUUUGAUUGCAUAAUGGCUAGAUACAUUUGGAAUGCGAUCUAUCUUACUUUUGGAGUCAAGCAACCCCGUAAUAGUUCACACUUGUUUGGAAAUUGGUUAAGAGGUUUUGAACCUAAGCUUAAAAGACAAACUUGGGUAGGCAUAGCGGCGAGUUGUUGGGCUUUGUGGCUCAGUAGAAAUGACUUAGUCUUUAAUGGCUACAACCACGUAUCUUUUUUGUAGGUAAUUUUCAAAGCAACUCAGUUGUCAAGGCUUUGGUCUUUGCUUCUUAAAGAAGACGAAGGCAUUGAAGUAAUCGCGAAGUGCAAGCUUUUAGAGAAGCGUAUGAUGGAGCUCUUCUCUACUUUUGGGUGGAACUUUAGAAGAAGGAUUGAAGCUUAGCUUUUAGUUCCUCUUGCUUGUUAUCCAUCUUUAAAACUUAUUUAUGCUUUACCCAUGUAACGGGAGAGUCUUAUGUACUCGUGUUUGUGACUUUUAGGCUGUGUACACCCUCACAAGGUGUAGAGGCCGGGUUUUUUAUAAUCCAUUAUCUAAAAAAAAAGAUGAAAACAAUGGUUUCAUCACAGGAACAAAUGGUCCAGAAGGGACAGACACCUUGGAUGACAUUGUUGCUGAGCUGUUUAAUGAUGUAAGAUACUCUCCUUUUUCCUGCAGAUCGGCAGCUCGUUUUAUUCUUCUUUUCUCUCUGGUUUCGAUUUUUCUUCACAUACCUGUAGCCAGUAUUCACUACACUGCUUGAUUCAUACCGUUGGUUCAUGCUUAUAAUAUUGAAACAUUGGGCAUCUUUGAAGUAUAUUUCGUUUCGGCUUGCACUUUACACUUGGAAUUCGCUGAGAAGUGCAUCUGAAUGGAACUUAUUUUCUCACUGCAGGAUUUCAUGGAAGGUUAUGAUGCUGUCGUAGAUGGAGACCAGGAUUUUGUUCCUUAGUCCUGACUAUGUGAGAUAUGUUCUGUAUCUGCAUAGGCUAGCUGCUGAUUUAAUCCAUGGCUGUUGCACAUUGUGUGUGCAAAAUUGUGCCAAUUGUAAUAGGCUAGUUAGAAGCAGGUCAUCUUCAGAAAAAGCCCCAUUUCCAUCUAGAGUAGUCAGCUCAACAAAAGAUUUUAGCUUCGUCGUGGUUUUUGAGAUCAUAAAAAAACACAUUGAAGUUUUGUCAGGUUGAACGUGUUCUGAUUGAUGUGUUAGAUGGUUAAAUGGAAUAAUUUUCAUGAAUUAUUCGAAAUGGUGCGCUUUAUCCAGUUUUUAUCUGGCAAUACUUUUUUUUUUUCGGGAAUACAUCUGGCAAUACUGUUCCUUUCUUAGAAUUAUAGAGAUAACGCUUGUUUUACAUGCAUGACCAUUUACUGUGCAGAUAUAGAACCAAUUAUUUACUGGGAGAUAAAUGGAACCAUGGAAUAUUUGGGUGUCACAAUUUCUGAUUCUGACUGGGUGUAAGUGGGUAAGCCGCGAACCCACUUAUAGGUCAAAAUAAACGAGUUUGUGGCUUAUUUUGGCCUAUAAGUGGGUUUCGCGGGUUAGCCGCUUACAACCUUUCUGAGUGACUUAUUGAGUUUCCACUGUAUGUUACCUUAAUUUAAUUUUCUGUCUAACAGCCUGCAAGAAAGAAAAAUUCCUUUUCCUUAUUUUUUCCAUGUAGCCAAAAACAGUUGAUUACUGUGUAGACAGUCUCAUGUUUCGAUUGUCUGUCGCAGUAACUGCAUCUUCUCAUUUUGAUAUCUGUGCAAGGUCCUCGUUGUACUGAUCUAUCCAUCCCUGUAUGAUCUUAACUUCUUGUCUUCGUUGUUCUACAACCCAAUCUGGAUCAUCUUUAGUUGCUGAUCUGAAGUCCAAAUGAUGAGCUCCUGUACAAAUGGUAUCAGCAUAAGUCUGUCUGAAAAUAUUUUGACUUUACACGUUAUCUUCAGAAUCUUGUUUACCUUUCUCCGUGACAAGGGCAAUGAUACUAGAUGAUAUGUUCUUGAGCACCCUGAUUGCAAAGCAGUAGGGAGGGAUAAAUACAUUAUGGUUUGCUACAGCUGAAAAGUUUAUCUGAAUUACUGAAACUUAUAACAUGAAUGAUCAAAUGGUGAAAUCUUUCAGGCAUACCCGCCACGGCUCCAUGGGUCUCGCAUUCCGUUGGAGAAGAUGAUGUUGCUCCCAAACCUCUUGAGCACCAGGUCAAUUCUCUGUAUCAAAAUGUGGAAUGCAACACCAGGUGAAACACUUCGAAAACCUAUCAAUGUUGCUACUACCUGUUCAUAUCUGAAACUGCAAACCUGAAACAACACUCACAUUUCCACCAUAUUCAGUGGUGAUCCAGUGUGGUCUCGGACGAACACCGUAGCUCUGGAAACAGUCAUCAGAUUUCCCCUCAUAAGUGAAGGUGAAUGGAGGGAACAUGCUCUCGUUCGAUAUCGUCAUCGGCAUGACCAUUUCUGUGCAGGCCUGCAAGAGAAGUUGCUUCAGAAAACACAACUAGUAUCUAUCUCAGUAUUGUCAGUGGCAUUGUAUCAAUCACCUGCCAUCCCCAACCACUGAGGCCAUGGGGGUCUUCUCCAUCCUCUAACUGGAAGCAUGUUUGAUCUCCUGUGUAAUUGUAGUACAGACUCGCCGCUGCGAAAGCUUUGUCAACGAUGUCUGCUCCUGCAGGGAAGCCGUGGAUGAUCUUGCACAUCUGUAGAAAUUUCAUGAGAAAUUUACUGAGAACUGAAAUUCCCUGGGAAUUAUAUGUUCAGUGAGACAGAAGAACAGGCAUGGUUUCUGCUCAGCUCAGUUUGGUGUUUCUGACACAAUCUUGGUUAUGCAUUUGGUUGAAAUGUAGAGAGGAGAUUUGGACAUUGUUUGCAGAACAUAGGUAGAGAUGGCAACCUCCUUGAUAGGAUAGGCAGGCAGAUUCAUCAGGAAAUUGGCCGGGGUUGGAUAGUCCACCAUGGCUGUGUACACAAAUGCUGUCCAUAGCCAGUUUCUGAACGAGUAAACCGAUUUCACAGUCCUAAAAUUUGAGGGAGGAAAAAGGCAAUAUUGUGAACUCAGGUUAGUGUAAAUCCAAUCAAUGUCAUUCUUCAUCUAUUCAGAAGUUGGGAAGAUGACCUUUAAUCAAAGAAUGAUCAUGGCUGUCAUAUAUAUAACUGAUAAGGUCUAUGUCAUUUUUUUACAUAAACCUGUUCUGUCUGGUAUCUUAUCUAUCAAUAUAUUAGGCAAUCCUUAUUGCCUUCUUAAAAAUGGAUAAGUUUUAUGCCACCUGUAAAUUUAUAUAGUUUCUUACACAUCACGACAAUGAAGCAUAAUUACUUGAAUUUGUGUGUGUAUAUUAUCCUUUUCUGAAUCUGCAUGCUAUUUUUCUUUUCUUGGUAUUGUUUGGUUGAUCACUUGCACUGCACACAUCUGGAAUAUAAUAAUUACAAUGAUCUCAAUUUUCUGUUUUCCUUUAUAUCUAAUAAGACUAUAAGACGUGGAUAAAAUUUUGGAUAUUCGUGGCACGUUUUUCAAACUACUAAAUGGUGCGUUUCGUGCGAAAACUUUCUAUAUGAAAGUUGCUCUAAAAUAUCAUAUUAAUCUAUUUUUUAAGUUUGUAGUAAUUAAAACUCAAUUAAUCAUAUGUUAAUACCACCUCGUUUUACGUAAAACACUUAAUCUUAUUUUUCAUCUUUAUCUUUAGGAGAAAAGAACACCACCUAGGUAGUGUAUUAAACCAGCAAUAAACUUACUUGCAGGCUCUGAAGGUUUUGCUGAGCUGUAAGAGCCCUGCAUCAGUGGAUCCCCUCUCAUCUAUCAAAUCCCAAGCUGCCUUGAUAACACUGAAGCAAUUGAAGCUUUCAGACUGCAAUAUCAGUUGCAAGUUAUAGUCAGUUUACAAAAAGAUUAAUCGAUGGUCAGUCACACAAAGAUGCCAAAUCUUACUCGGAAAAAAAAUAGAUCUGGUAAAAAAAAGAGUAAACAGCUCAGUCAAGUGGUUGCUUCUAUGAAAUACAUUUUUGACAAAUCGAAGAGAAGAUUUAUAGCCAGUCGCCAAGAAAGCGACUUUAAGGUCCUGUUCUUAAUGUCCGUAUCCGUGGAUUAUUUGUGGAUUAUUCAUACCACACUUUCAAAAGUACGAUUUCUCGACAAACUUUCUAAUAGAUCACUCAUCAGCCCUCUCCACAUUUCAUUGGGCAUUUGGGCCCUUAAAAAGCAGCAACCAUGUCUGUACUCUUGAUAAGCCUAUGGCGUGGUCACUCAAGCGUCGCAAUCUAGCUAAUUAAACAGUAUAAUCACAAUCAGCCAUGCAGGUUGCAUGGUCUUCAGGGCCUUGUCUACCUGAAUCAGGUUGCCAUUUCAAUCCAGCAUUUAAGCUGAAUGUACAUGAACAGUGCAGAGGCUAAUAGUCCAUCAUAACAAAUCCAUCAACUACUAACUAACUAUACCGGCAAAUGCUCAAUGAUCAUUCAUCAUUGGACUUGUAGUGUAGGCAAUCAGCUGCAGGAGGAGACAUGGCUGCCAUGCUUACCAACUUCAAGCCAACACGUACUGUCAGUUACAGUAGAUGUACUGCAUGCUGUGACUGACAGGUCAAAAGAUGACGAUUUUUACUGUACGUGACAACGGUCCAGUGACAAUGACAGUGGGCCACACCUAGAUAUUUUUCUUUCGUCAGAUUUCCAGACAAACUGGCACCGGUCGGUCAGUAGUUGACUUUCAACAUCUAAUGCACAAUUUCCUUAAACAGUUCUAUGAAAUUAUGCAUCCCAAAAUAAACCUGUCCUUGAACAUAAAUAUUAAUUUUGGUUACAAAACGCAUAACUAGUUUUCAUUAGUAAGAUUUGAUUUGGUUAAAAAAAAUACCGAUACCUCACAGUGCCAAAUCGUUUUCAAUCAUUGGAUCUAGCUGGGCAGGAUUGACAUUGUUAGAUUCAACGAUCGAAAAUGAUUUGAUACUGUGAGGUACCAGUACCUCGAGGUAUUUUUUUGUUGGACCGGAGCAAAUAUCAUCAUUAGUACCUUGUAAUCUUGCGAGACGGCCUCGUAGAAGCUGCUCCAUGGAGUUAUGUAGUCGAACUGCAGGAUCGGAGCAGAGGACGCGACGGCGCCAAUGGUGACAUGGGGAUACUUUAGCCUGAACCAUGAAGCCAACACUGCAAACAACAAGCAAAACAACAAAAAAAAAAGGAUUAGUUCAUCCUAAUCUCGCUAAUCCUAAUACGAACAAAACCCCACGACGGCCAAUGUCAGACACGCAGUACAACAAUUAUGGUAACUUUAUGAAUCAUCCGUGUGUUUAUAAUCUAAGAGAUCCAGAUCCACGCCGCAACGAACAAAACAAAAAACACAUGACACAUGCUAAGUUCCUUAAUAGUAACUUUUAACUAUGCAUGUAAAUACAAAGCCUCGUCGUUCCGUUUAUGCUUAUACUUACUUGUAAGUCUAAAUUUAAAUUUUAAAACUUAAUUUUAAGUUAAUUUCGUGGUUUUCCAUCAGAAUUUAUUUUACAACAUUUUAUCUUGAAUCGUGCUAAGGACACGUGUAAAAAUGUUUUAUCCAUAAAUUAUUGUUUUUACUAAUAAAUCGUUUGGAUAAGCAAAUUAGUAGCGGAAAUAAUGGGACUGACAUUUUUUUUAAAUUCAUUUUUAGAAAUAAUGGAACUCACAUUUGUUUAGAUUUAUAAUUAGAAAUAAUGGGACUCACAUUCGUUUAGAUUCAUUGUCAGAGAUUGUUAUAUUAUGAGGAAUGGGACUCACAUUUGUUUAGAUUCAUUUUCACAUUUGUUUAGAUUUAUUUUUAGAAACAAUAGAAUUCACAUUUGUUUAGAUUUAUAGUUAGAAAUUGUUAUAUUCUGAGGAACAUCUAUUAUGAGACGUAAUAGUUAAUUAAUUACAAUGAGAUUUGGAUCAAACAUUUUCUCUAAAAAGAAAUUAGAACAAACAUUUUUUAAAAGGAAAUUAUGAGCAUGUUGAGGAUUGAACGUGAGGCAUUAGAAUUGAAACCACACACCAAUUACCACUGCACUGAUAGUGCAUCUCAAUACGUAAUAGUUAAUUUAAUUAUUGGUGACUUACUGCCGCCGUAGGAGCCACCGAAGACGACGACGGGGGAGGAGACGGCGGAGAGGUUGUGCUUGAGGCUGGUGAUGAGGACGGCGAAGUCGGCGAGCGCUUGCGUCGACGUCAGGUACCCCAGCUUCUCCGGCGAGCUGUUCGACUCGUUGCCGAACGGCUUCGACUCCCCGUAGAAUCGAUGCUGCUUGCUCAAAUCAUGCUCAUCAACCGUAAGUACGGUGUUAAUUCAGUGUGAUUAGUGAUGUGUGAUUGCUUGCCUCGAUGAAGACGAGCAGGGCGCCGAAGCUGGGCGCGAUGUCGAACAUGAAGCCGGUGUUGGUGGCGAACCACUCGAUGUCGCCCUCGUUGCCGGUGUACACGAAUAUCGGCCCGGCCGGCGUCUCGCCGGCGGCGGCGCUCCGCCGCCAGAAGGUGUCGUUGACGAGGUACUUCUGGUAGAAGACGGCCGACGCGUUGGGCGUGAAGGUGAAGUGGUCCAGCUCCUGCGGGAAGUAGUGCGCCGUGAACGGCUUCGCCGCCGCCGCUGUGCCGUUCCCUCCGGCCGCCGCCGCCGCCGCGGCGACGACAUACCUGCUGCCGCCGGCGGAGCUCGCCGGCCGCCGCUGCUGCAGAGCUUGCAGCUGCAGGGGAGGGACUCCGGGGAAGACGGGGCUAGCUGCAGCUGCUGCAGAGGGGGCUGCGACGAGGAGGAGGAGGAGAGCUGCUGCUAUGGCGGCGAGAGGGUGGAGUGGCGAGGCGGGUGCCGCCAUUUUUGCAGCUCGUCCGUCUCACUCGCUCGUGUGGGGGUUUAUUAAAGGAGCAGAGAUGCUCUGCCAUGUCGGGCCCACAUGUCGGUGCCCCAAACGGCAGGUAAGACGUCGGAGUAUGGUAGUACGUAUUUUGUGGAAUCUGUGUCCGGCCUUGCAUAUAUUGCAUGCAAAUCGUUCUGAUGCUUUCGUGAGUUUUAUCCUUAAAAAAAAAGGCGAAUACUAGGAAAUAACUUAAUAUCAAAUAAUUAGAAGGGGUGAUACUUCGAACCCAGAUCGUCUAGCCCACCACCUUAUGAAGUUAGCCGAAAAAUUCUUAUGUGUUUCUCCUUCCGAUUUGAACAAGAAUAUAUACUAAAGAUUAAUUGUCAUUUAAAUUGACGGACUUUGGGUCCAACGACUUUGGAUCAUAGCGUGUUACGUCUGAGCUCUAGGAUAUUGUCAUUUGGUUUGUGGUCUUGUGGACAAUAUCGUAGCCUCGUAGGAGACUCGGCUAUUACAACAUGUAUCAGCAAUACAAUGUGUCCCUGCAUCAAAAGAUACAGCUACCUCUAGCAUUUAAAUUUGUUCAAAAUAUGACUAUUUUUUCUUAUUAAUUUCAACUGAUCACAACAAUCGCCAAUUAAUUUCUUCAUCAUUUUCUUAUCUCAACCAAUUACAACCAUUCGCCACAUCACUUUACCUACUUUAUUAAUCUUCGUGCUUGCAUAGUUUCAAAGGUAGGAGUAACUAUAUUCUGGGAUGGACAGAGAAAAUGAGAGAAUGUUUAUGGUAGUUGAUCUUAAACGCAUUUGCUCCUAAGCCUCUUUUGGAAUGCAAGGAAACUCAGACACAAAACAUGGAUAAAAUUACAGAAAAUAAACUAAUCUAUAUAGCAUACUAUAAAAAUUCUUACAUUUUAAAAAGAGCACCUAAGAUCGAAAGGCUGAAAAUUAUUUCGAGGCAUGGAACCCCAUUUGCCUUUAUUAAAGAAACACGCUCUCUACUAGUACACAAGUCCGGAUAUCGUCCACACACAAGGUGCCGAUGCAGACCGGCUGCAUCAUUCCUAACGCAACCGGACGCUCUAGAGUCUAGAAACAAUCAACAAGAGAGAAAAUUGGCUUCUAGAGUGACAUGGACAGAUUGUUUGCCUGUUGAAGCUUGCACAUGUGGAUUACCUCGAGGAUAAUCCCCCGAAAUGUGGGGAAAAUAAAGUAAUUAAAUGGUCUCUCUCUCUCUCUCUCUCUCUCUCUCUCUCUCUCAAAUGACAAAAUGAUCUCUUUUGUGUAUAUAUCAUUAUCCUAAGCAAAUCCAGUUGAUCAUAUUCAGUCAUGGGUCCAUUCAUGUUGUCCAAUCCAAAUCAGCUGCAAAGCUAGGCUAAGCAUCACGCGUCAAAGGCGUUUGGAAUAUUUCAUCCAAUGCGUGUAGUGUGUGGAAACAUAGGAAUUAUAAUGGUAUUGGGCUGAUUGAUUGCUUGCACAAGGCUCAUCUUGCCUCUUAUACGUAGUAGAUGCAGUGUCUUUUCAAAAAAGCUUUUUUUCUUUCUUUGUUUGAUGGAAAAGCGUUUGCAGGUUAUCAGUGGAGUGAGCCAGAAUGACCUCACGAGUUUGUUUGAUGAAAAAUGUUCCAUUUGUCUCGUAUGUGGUCAAAAGGAACAUGUAAAUUCCUGCUUAAAUUGGACCCUUUUCAUGUACUAAAUAAAAUACAUGCAUUCGAAAACUUGCAAUUCUCCUGUAGAGAUCAGAUAGAGACAUCUCAGUGCAAUCAAGCAUCUUAGUGACAGGAAUCUGCCGACGGGGCAGGCUGAUGAGGGUAUUGUUUGAGCCCAUCAUGUGGCCGUGGACUAGUUGGGCUUUGUUUGGGCCCACAACUGGUGUCAAUGAUCCCAAGAUUUGACCUUCAGCUGCAAAAAGGAGACAGCUCAGAGCUCCAUCAUAGCGGCAAUCUACGUUGCCAUGAACUUCUGCACGGCUAAAUGUUUUGCCCUUUCCCUACUCUCCCGUGCUCUAGCGUCAGCUUCAGAAACAAAAUCUACUGCCAAGUAAACGUAACAAAUGCACCUCAAUUGAUUAGGUUUUCUACGAUGAAAAACAACCCAUCCAAGUUUAAAUUCUAAACUUGACAUAAAUGCAUGCUCAUAUUUAUGAUUAGUUAAUUUUUUUCAAAGGUAAACAAUAUACCUGUUAGUAGCGAGACAUCCAUAGUGGCAUCGUCAAUCUUUCAAACUAGUCUUUCGAAGGUGUUUAUAAGAGUAAGAAUAUGCAUAUUUAUUUAUAAGGAUGAGUAUGCGUGCAUUGUGAGCGGUUGCAUUUAUAUUGUGUUUCUCAUAAAAAGGAACAAAAUUUACCCACAUCCCAAUGAGCGAGCGUGGUAACUUAUCAAUCUCAAUAUAUAUCGGACCAAUCUUAUGAAGAUGCUAACUUAGGAUGGGACAUUUAAGAACCUAGGAUGGGAGGUUCUUAUAUUUUGGGACGGAGGGAGUAUUUAUUAAGAUAAGUGCGAUUCGUUAUGAACAAUUGUAUUUAUACCAUGUUUCUUACUAACUCCGUCCCAAAAUAAGUGCAGUCAUGGAUAUCCGUGCCCAACGUUUGAUCGUCCGUCUUAUUUGAAAAAAAUUUGAAAAUAUUUAGUCAUACAUAGAGUACUAUUCACGUUUUAUCAUCUAAUAGCAAUAAAAAUACUAAUCAUAAAAAAUUCAAAUAAAACGAACAGUCAAACGUUGAACGUGAAUAGUGCAAAACUGCACUUAUUUUGGGACGGAGGGAAUAAAAAAUCUACUAACGUCCCAAGGAACGAGCGUAGACGGUGACAACUCGCACGUCAUUAGUUGCAACCGUACAUCAUUCCCGUGCUACAGGGCGCCCCUUGAUCAGUCGUGUCAGAACACUCUGCUGCAAACGGUCAAAAGAAGCAGGUUACCACCAUGUCCACUAGUGAUGGUUACCACCAAAAUCUACCCAGUUGACGAACGCACAGACAGUGUCAGUCAUCACAAGGCAACAAGAUACUCAAACUGACCUUGCAAAAAGCUCAGUGAUUUUUCAAUCACUCGCUGCGGUCCUGCACAAGAUCUGGAAAUCUAGGCGUCGGAGAGUCCCCAACUGAUCAUGUGAGUGCAUGAAAGCACUAAGCAGACAAUGCUGUGCCACAGCAGUGGCUUGUACAAUGCAGCAGUACAGCAGAAUAGUUGAUCAAAUGAGUGCAAUAGUGGAUCAAAUGAGUGAUGCACUUUUACCGAUAAACACUGAAGGAAUAUGAUAGCGAUAAGAUAACAGAUCCACUAUAUAGUGUCACCCAUGAAAGAGUUGAAACCCUAUAAUCAGUUCCACAGUAAACUCCAACAAGUGCACGGAUUUAGCAGCAAAGAUCAAAUAGGCUUUUCACUCUUAAGGCAAAUAUGAAGGGUAGAGCUAUCAGAUUAAUAUACAAGGCACGUCAGAUCACUAUUACAUCACAAAUAUUGCAUUGGCAAAUAGUUCACUGCCAAAACCAUAAUGCCGGUUGUUGGGAGAAGACAACAACAAUAAAACAAAACAAGAAAAAAAGUGCUGGUAAAGGCCGAAGAUAAAUAAUACAUAAAAGGAAGGCUUAUUUUGUUCUUUGGAACUAUGUAUAUACAAGAUGGUGGCCUUGUUUGUAACCUGUCUAAGUAGGGAAAUCAGCACAGACAUGUGACAAUGCUCAAAGCAUUUUAUCCCGUGAUAAUUAUUAUGAGGAUUUAGAUGGUUGGUACCUCCAAUUUGCAUGAAUCCUUUCUGUUCGAAGUCUGCCAGGAAAACAAAACAAUGCGAUGUGUAUGUAUAAUAAGCGUCAAUACAAAUACAGAGAAUAAAAGAAACUAAAACUUGCAAACUAUCAAAAUAAGAGGGGAGAUUUUUGCCUUUCGCCACGGACUUGUUACAUCAUCUCAUACAUGCCACUUGAUUGGGUCAGCGCAACAUGUAAGUGCAAAUUCAGUGGCAUAAAUGAAAGUAAAAAUGUGUUUUAUGAAUCCGAAAAAAUCAGUUCUAUACAAUUAUUAGCUUCUCAGCAAACAGAAAAAUACCAGACAUGGAUCUAUACAGAUACAAUACAACCAUAAGAAACUAAGGACUGUUUUGGGCAAAACAUGGUUGAAAACAAAGAAAAUGUACUAGAAUGGCUCAGGUUAACCCAAACUGUCAAUUCCCAACAGUUACAAAUGCCCACGGUUCUGGCAACAUGUACAUACUACCUCCGUCCCUCAGUACAUGAACAAAUGAGUAGAAUCAUUUAACAUGUACUAACAAGAAAUAGCUGCAACCGGUAACUUGCUGGGGAGCAAGGCCUCCUAGUAUGACAGCCGAUUGAACAUAUUACCAAGGAACCAAGGAGAUGCCAAAUGAUCUCCAAGGGGCAGUCAAAUCAUCACAGCCACCAGUUCCAAAUGCCUGUGUGGUUACAACCGUAAGAAACUAAGGACUGUUUUGAGUAAAACAUGGUUGAAAACAAAGGAAAUGUACUUGAAUGGCUCAGAUUAACAACUGUCAAUUCCAAACAGUUACAAAUGCCCUUGGUUCUGGCAACAUGUAACUACUCCCUCCAUCCCAGUGUACAUGAACAAAUGAGUAGAAUCAUUCAUUAUAGCAUGUACUGACAAGAAAUAGCUGCAACUGGUAACUUGCUGGGGAGCAAGGCCUCCUAGCAUGACAGCUAAUUGAACAUAUUACCAAGGAACCGAGAAGAUGCCAAAUGAUCUCCAAUGGGCAGCCAAAUCAUCAUAGCCAUUCAAGAAAUAAAAAAAUAACAAACAAUGAAAUAUGCAUCCACAGAAGUAUGCUGUGAAAGUAUGAAACAACAAAAAGAAAGAUCACGCUAAAGCUAACUGAAUAAACAGUUAACAUUCCUUUAUUAGUGUUACAUUACUUAAUUUUAGAAAAAAGAAACAAUUAAGCUCCUAUGAGCAAGUAUUGUCAUCACCGUGCAGUAAGCAAGUUAGACUACAAGUAUUGCCCUGGUACCAUAACAUCCCCCCAUUUAUGAUUUAUUCAUUCUGGGAAGACUUCGUGCUCAUUAAAGUGCCUGCUGGUAAAAAAGUAAGAACUAAAAUACCAUUGAGCUGAUUACCAACAGGAUAUUGCAAUGGGUAAAAAGUAGCAAACUGCCAUCGCGAGACAUGCUUGCUAAUUUGCCAGAGCACUGUAAAAUGUCGGUUGUGGGAGAAGAUAACACGAAUAAAACAAAAGGAAAUAAGUUGCGCUGAAGUGCUGAUAAAGACUGAAGAUAAAUAAUACACAAAGACGACUAUUUUUUGGUCGGUAGGGAUAUCAGCACAGGCAUGUGACAAUGCUCAAUGCACCCAUUGGAAAUUAGUAUUGAGAAUUCAAACGGUUGGUACCUCCAAUGGGUGAAUCCUUUCUGCUCUAAAUCUAGCCAGGAAAACAAAAUGAUGCAACGCGUUUGUGCAAAUUCCGUGGAAUACAGAAAAUAAAAUAAAUUUACAAACUCAAAUAUCAAAACAAGAGGGGAGAUUUUUUGCCUUUCGCCACUGGAUAAGAUCAAGGCAACGUGCAAGUGCGAAUUCAGUGGCAUACAUGAAAGGCAAAAUGAGAUUUAUGAAUCCAGACAACUCGGAUCCAUACAAGUACAACCAGGAAAACUAAAGACUGCUUUUGGGUAAAAUAAUGAUUGAAAAGAAAAGAAAUAUAUUUGAAUGGCUCAGAUUAACCUAAAUGGCAAUUCCAACAGUUCUGAAUGCCCGUGGUUCCGGCAACAUGUAAGUACUCCCUCCGUCCACUUUGUACAUGAACAAAAUGAUGAGUAGAAUCAUUCGUUAUAGCAUGUACUGAGAAGAAAUAGCUGCAACUGGUAACUUGCUGGGGAGCAAGGCCUCCUAGUAUCACAGCUAAUUGACAUAGGCAUGUCCUGUAGCAAAAUUUGCCUUGAACAUAUUACCAAGGAACCAAGAAGAUGCCGAAUGAUCUCCAAUGGGCAGCAAAAUCAUCACAGCCAUUCAAGAAAUUAAAAAUAACAACAUGGCAUUUUCUGACAUUUAAGGUGGUGUUUGAAUCUCCUGAAGAUGAAGGCUGUGUUUAGUUCACACUGAAGUUUGAAAGUUUGGUUUAAAUUGGAACGAUGUGACUGAAAAGUUGUGUGUAUAAAAGGUUUGAUGUGAUGGUAAGUUGGAAGUUUGGAAAAAAAACUUUGGAACUAAACAGGGCCAAAGAUAAAGAUUAAGUGUUUCACGCAAAACGAGGUGGUAAUAAAGUGAAAUACUAUGCCACUGCUUCAGAUAUCAAUGUUGCAUUUGCUGACAUUUAGUAGGUAUAUGCAGAAUGGAAUGACCCUUUCCAUGUGAAAAUCAAUCACCAAGAAAACCAGAUAGAACAAAACGGAAAUAUUAGGGAAGGACCUAAUAUCAAAUAAUUAUAAGGGGUGAGGCUUCGAACCCAGGUCGUCUAGCCCACCACCUUGUGGAGUUAGCCGGAAGACCCCUAGGCGUUUCUCCGGAUAGAUAGAACUGAACCCCAUAAAACCAUUCGUCCGUAUUACUCCAAAUCCCGUUGCAAAGCACGGGCAUAGCACUAGUGCAUGAAAAGAAAAAGGAACUGUAGCCAAUGCGAAGAAUACAAAUGCUUGAGGAACACAACUGCAUCGAGCACCUUCAUUGGGCUCAGCUUCGCCUUUGAUCAAUCAAAUAACCCAACCCCCACCAUCCCUUAUCACCAGACCUAUCAGUUCUAGCGGUAGUGGAGCUACCCUGGUUAUCAUUCGAAACGAAUGACCAUCCAAGGACAAAGCCACUGGCAUUAGCACAUGACUAGAAAGGCUCAAAGGGGGUAGAGGGAGGGUCCAAUUUAAUACCCACAGCAGCCUCAAUUGCUUGAAGGCAUGCUUAUUUCAGCCAAGGUCGAUCGUCAUCGCCCUCUGUGUUCAUUGCGGACCAUACGUAGUACCCUGCCACAAAUACAGCAUAUGCUGAUGCGAUCACCAACACUAAGAGCAAGUAUAAUAGUAUAGCCAGAUCUACAGCCUGAUUUUCUUCUUCUUCUUCUUCUCUCUCUCUCUCUCCUCCAAUUGUACCUGCUCUAACGAGCCAAGUCGGCUCAAGCUCACGACGACGACCAAAACCCCCAAGAGUCCACAGCCGAUCCGGACACCACCCUAGGUUCCAAUUGCCUUCACUGCACGGCGGCGGCUCACCUUAGAGAUGGGAAUCCGGACGCUGCGGCCUCUCGGCGGAUUGAUCGUCGGCAAGCUGUGGGAAGGAAUUCCUGCGAAACCCCUUUUAACAAUGGCAUAAUCUCCAAUUUCUCGUCGUCAGCAAGCAACUGCACUUGACAUUGGGUCGGUUAGGGUAUAAACACACAAGCACACAGCACACGGUGCGCCAUAGAGGCCGUGAGGGAGAAGGACGAGGAAGAGAGAUUGUGGUGGUGAUGACCGAAUCUCGAAAACGUGGCUAAAAACGAAAUCGAAAGAAAAUCCAUGGCGAGGCGGCUCAGAUCUCACCUUGGCCGACCCGCCCUCCCCUUACCGGAAGCCGCGGCAUCGCCUCCCCACCGCCCCCACGGUCCCCGAUCCCCCAACGCCGAUGCGCCCCGUGGCGGCGCGGACGGGGGGAGGGAUGGCCCCGCGAAGGCGGAGGGUUCCGACGCGCGCGGCCGCCGCUCGGGGAGACGCGUCCGCGCCAAGGGCCGGGGCCUCCUCAUCGCCGCCGGUGUUCCCGAGAUGGCCGCGGUCUCGAUCGGGUGGUGCGGUCAUCGGCCGCCGCGAGCAGGACGGACGGAGCGGCGAGGUCGAGUACUCGCCGUCGCCGGCGCCGCCGCUCGCGGUGGCCUCACACUUAAACUAAUGAUGAGUGAGCGGCGGUGGAGUCCGCGGCGGAGGGUUUUGUGUGGGGUUUCGGGAGGAAGACGAUGCGGUGACGUCAGCCCUGUCCACGCGUCGCGUCAGGAGGGCUGUGAGGAAUAGAUCCAACGGACAGGAUUAGCGCCGAUUACAGUGGAGGCAGCAGAUUGAGCCCGACUCGGUGGCAUAGAACCACGGGUGGAUUCAAGUUAAUGCAUUUUGGUUGAAAUUUAAGGAAAAUUGGUUGUGUGACAUUAAUAGAUGUCGAUUUCCAAAAAUAAACCAUCAAAAGAUUCCAAUACUUAGGGGGCAUGUACAACGGUCUUUAUUAGUGGUCUCUUUCUAUUGUCAUGCAAUUAAAUUCGAUGACGCUCUCUAUUGUCAUGCAAGUAGAUUCGAUGACAUAGAAGAAAGAUAAAGGAGUAUGACAUAGAAGAAAGAUAAAGGAGUAUGAUUGUUAUGCAUGACAACGGCUCAGAAUCGACUCUUAACAUUUAUUAGAGCAAAUUUUGUUGCAUGGUGAUGAAAGAAAGGAAAGAAGAGUAAGAAAAAGUAUUUUGAUACAUUAAUGAUUAGAGACCAUAUUAUCUCUAACUGUUGUAGGAUGCUAGUCUCUAGAUAACGUAGAGCUCAUUUCUGACUCUACCUUUGUAUAUGCCCUUAUUCCCAAAAACACUCAAUUGAAAUAUUACAAUAUUUAAAAAUAUACCACUUUAGAUGUUUUACACGUUUCCUACCAUGUGAGCAAGAAAGUGGUAGAUAGGGCACAAUCUCUUUCCCUCCCGCUCUCCACCUUACUCUUUCUCCCUCUAUCUCUCACCACCUAACAACACAAACAAGUGACGACAAGAGCCCUCCAACAAAGCCCCUUCUCCUUCCUCCAGCCUUCCUCCAGCGAACUCCAAUGAAAGAAAUGGUGCAGCAAUAAACUAAGCACCUUACUACCUCCAAUAACAUCAUUCCUCUAGCGGAUUCCCUUCGCCCUCUUUUGACGACGCCAGAUCUAGCUCUCAACUCCAAUACCUCCCUCUUCUGCUUCCACCGCCACCACCUAGCCUCGCCACCGCCAAAAAGUAUCAAUGUAUUGGCUUUGCCUUCUCCCUCUCUCCUUUGCCUCCCUUUGCCACCACCGCCAAUGUCGGCCCAUCGUCCGCUGCCGACCCUAUGCCUUCGAUAGCACCGCCACCUCCGCCUCGCCCCACCCUUAUCCGCAAGUCCAUCACCUCCAAAGCCAAUCUAAGCUCAGUCCCCACUUUCCCUCUCCAAUAGCUAGCCCUUCCCCUCUACCCCACCCUGUCCCGAGCUUAACAUCACGUGAUCAAAAACCACACGUGACAUAACCCUGGCACGCGUAUAAAUUAGGAUUCCUGUCUAUUCUGUGCCUCCACACCAUGAACUUUCUUUUGCCCUCGAGUAUUGCAUUGGGAAACGAGAGAAACCUGAAAAAUGUUAAGAGAAAUAGACAAUGAUAUAAUUUACAUGAUUAUAUCUUUUAGUGGUAUUUAAAUGUACAUAUUUCUAAAAUCGAUUUUUUUUGGUGUCAUCGAACUAAUUUUCCCUAAAAUGUAGAGUCCAUAUCUCUCAAAUGGCAGUGAACGAAUGAUAUCUCGAGUGGCAGUGAACGAUUUAAGUCAUUGUAGUGGAAUAUAUUUUGAGUUUCUUUAAAAAAAAGAAAGAAGAACACUCCGCAAGCUGCCGUGCUAGACUACAUAAAAGAACUGACUUUUAUAUCCUAGUUUAAUAUUAAUUAAAUGUGAUGACAUUGUAAAUCUUAUUACAAGAAAUUGGUCUAAACCGAACGCGCAUUGUUGUAUUUAACUUCAAAGUUCAUAAGAAUACUCCCGAUGACACCGUUGAUUUUUUCUUAUAUCUUUGACCAUUCGUCUUAUUUAAAAAUUUUAUGCAAAUAUAUAAGAUAUAAAUCAAGUACUAUGAGUGAUAAAACAACACAUAACAAAAUAAAUUAUAAUUACGUAAAUUUUUUGAAUAAGACGAAUGGUAAAACAUGUGAAAAAAAGUCAACGGCGUCACAGAGGUACACAGAGGUAGUACUACACCGAGUGCAUUUUGAUUAUUAUGCUUCCUCCAUUCUGAUAAUCACAAGCGCAAAGUAUUCCGUUGCGGACAAGUCAAGACAAUGUUAAAACGUUAAUUCCAUUGCACCAUCAUUAAAUCUAAGUUUGCUACAUAACGAGCAUAGAUUAUUGUUAAGUGAAAAUGAGAGAAGAGAUAGAAGUGCUAACUACAAAAAUUUCAAACUGUUGCAACUAAAACAAGAUAAUAAUGACAUAAAAAUUACAACCGUUCAUUCCAGCGUGCACCACUGGCAAUGCCUGCUGAUUUCAUCAUGUGGCAUUAGCAACAACAAUUUGUCAGAAAACUGGUUGCAUAUCAUGGAGCAAAACCUCCAAAUUUAGCCACAAAAUUCCCUCCCCAGAAAAAGAAACAAUUAGCCAAAGCUAACGAGGGACUAACAGAUGAUGUUGAAGUUACAUCCGUAAUAAGCUGAAGCCGAAGAUUCGCAAAGCAAUUCACACAAGUCGAUGGGUUCGUCCCUGGGGCCAUUACCAACAAACAUUUUGCCAAGACUUCGUGCUUAUUAAGGCGCCUGCUGGUAAAACUGUAAAGAACAAAUACCAUUGGGGCAAAGCAUGGAUGAAAACAAAGGAAAUGACUUGAAUGGCUCAGAUUAACCCGAUUGCCAAUUCCAAACAGUUUAAUGUGCCUGUGGCUCCGGCAAAAUGUAAAUACUCCCUCCGUCUCUCUGUACAUGAACAAAUGAGUAGAUUAGCAUGUACUAUCAAGAAAUGGCUGCAAGCCUGCAACUGGUACCUUGCUGGGCAGCAAGGCCUCCUAGUAUGACAGCUAACUGAACAUACUGCUAAUGAACCAACAAGAUAUUUAUUUUAGAUAAUGGAUUAAAACAUGGCCUCUACAUCCAAGACUGAUGUACAUGGCCAAGAACGAGAAGAUGUCAAAUCUUCAAGGGGUAGCCAAAUCAUCACAACCAUUCAAGAACUAAAGAAGUAACAAACAGCGAGAAGAUGUCAAAUCAUCUUCAAGGGGUAGCCAAAUCAUCACAGCCAUUCAAGAACUAAAGAAGUAACAAACAUCAAAAUAUGGAUGAACAGGAGUAUAUCCUUAAAGUAUGAAAGGACAAUAAUAAUGAUCACACUACAGCUAAGUUAAUAAAUAGUCAACAUUCCAUUCCUUAAGAAAAAAAGGAAUGAAUAAACUACAUAGAAAUGAAGAGAUAUUUAACUAUUUACAAGUGGCAAUUAAGGAUUUGCUACUGGAUCCACAAUGUCUGUCAUAGAUUGUGAGUAACAAAUUCUUAAUUGCCACAUCUUAAAAGUGGCAAAAAGUUAAAUGCCUCAGCAAAAGCAAAACUUGAAAGAGUUCCAACAUCUCGCAUAUGCUACUGUAUAUGAACAGGGCGACAUGCAAAUGACAACUGAGUGGCCUAAAUGGAAGUCAAAAUGAGAUCAACGAAUCUAAAAAAAAAUUGUUUGUAUAGUAAUAUUAAUUUCUCACCAAACAGAAACAAUACCAGAAUACCAGACUCAGAUCAUUACAAGCACAGCCAUAAGAAAGUAAGGAGGUAAAACAUGGUUGAAAACAAAGGAAAUAUACUUGAAUGGCUCAGAUUAGCCCAACUGUCAAUUCCCAAUUGUUACAAAUGCCUAUGGUUCUGGGCAACAUGUUGAUAGUACUCCCUCCGUAACUCCGUACAUG